Molecule: long non-coding RNA, 56319 nt
Filed under: Triticum aestivum (bread wheat)
Lineage: Eukaryota; Viridiplantae; Streptophyta; Magnoliopsida; Poales; Poaceae
Description: long non-coding RNA (TAES_LNC014532)
Source: RNAcentral
CCGAGCUUGAGGUUCUUGGAGAAAGCCUCAUAGAACUUGUUGUAGUCCUCCUUGUUCUCAGCAAUCUCAAAGAAGAGCUCGAUGCACUUCUUCACAAGGUUCUUCCUGAUGACCUUGAGGAUCUUGUUCUGCUGGAGUGUCUCACGAGAGAUGUUGAGGGGAAGAUCCUCAGAGUCAACAAUGCCCUUGACAAAGCUCAGCCACUCUGGGAUCAGCUCCUCACAGUUGUCCAUGAUGAAGACACGGCGCACAUAGAGCUUAAUGUUGUUGAGCUUCUUCCUGGUGUCAAAGAGGUCAAAGGGGGCCCUCUUGGGAACGAAGAGGACGGCCUUGAACUCAAGCUGACCCUCCACCGAGAAGUGCUUGACGGCAAGGUGCUCCUCCCAGUCGUUUGUCAGGCUCUUGUAGAAGGCAGCAUACUCAUCCUUGGUGAUCUCCUCAGGCUUCCUCAUCCAGAUGGGCUUCUGCUUGUUGAUCAGGUUCCACUCGUGAGAAACCUCCUUGAUCUUCUUCUUUUUCUUCUCCUUUUCUUCCUUCUCUUCAUCAAUUUCCUCAACCUUGCCCUCCUCAGUAUCCUUCUUCUCAUCCUCAUCUUCAUCGUCAGAAAUUUCCUUCUCAGUGGUCUUCUCCGUCCAGAGAGAGAUGGGAUAGCUGAUGAACUCAGAGUGCUUCUUCACCAGAUCCUUGAGGCGACGCUCCUCAAGGUACUCCAACUGCAGAACAAUAGUUAAAUUGUCAGGGACAAGUCACAUGCCUCAGUUAAAAAUACCCAUUAGCAUCAAUGCAAGGUGCUACAUCCCAAAAACAUAGCACUAUGAUUUUGAAUGUCCCAAAGUAAAAAUAGCACAUGAGUUGAGGUCGGCCCAAAUGGCCUAAGCCACUUGGCACAAAUGCAGUACUAACAAAAACAGUAGUAGUAGAAACUAGCUAGCAUCAACAAUCUAGGAUGGCACUAAUUAUACUGGUCCAAUUUCAUGCAAUGACAACAGUGAUGGCUCAUUUUAAGGGAUUCAUGCCAGCAAUUAUACUUACUGAAUCUAGAACAACGGUAAACAAUCAAAUUCAACUGCAACAGACAUAUAUGAUCACAACAAAGCCAUAGUAACAAUUAUACUAACUGAAUCUAUAAGAAGGGUAAACAAUUAAACUCAACAACAGACAUGCCAAAAACAUAGCACUAUGAUCAGUAUACAACUCAAAGUUUCACCAGCAAAUGAAUUACCCUACAGAACCCUCCCAAUACUGUGCAUCAUUAAUCAACAAGAACAGGUACGCCCUUCCAUUACAACCCCAGAGCAUAGAAACAAAAGUAAGACAUGAACAGCAUUUCAAUCUAACAGUACAUUCACAGAAACAUGGGAAGUUUGAACAAAAGUAACAUGAACAGCAUUUCAAUCUAACAGUACCCUACCAAGUGCACCCAGAACAUAUUAAAAUGUGAACAGAACGGGUAGCAUGAGAAAGUAAAUAAUGGGAAGACUUUUGAGUUUUGUACCUGAUCAUCCUUGAGGUAGAGGGUGAUCUUAGUACCCCUUCCAAGGGGCUCUCCAGUAGUAUCACGUGUCACAGUGAAGGAACCACCAGCCUGGGACUCCCACACAUACUGCUCGUCAUCGUUGUGCUUGCUGGUCACAACGACUCUCUCAGCAACGAGGUAAGCAGAGUAGAAACCGACACCAAACUGACCAAUCAUGGACACAUCAGCACCAGCAGUCAGUGCCUCCAUGAAAUCCUUGGUGCCAGACCUUGCAAUGGUACCAAGGUUGUUCACAAGGUCUGACUUGGUCAUACCAAUACCACUGUCAAUAAGCGUGAGUGUGUUCGUGGCCUUGUCAGGGAUUAUGUGGAUGAACAGCUCUGGCUGAGCAUCCAGCUUGCUCUUGUCAGUCAGGCUCUCAAACCUGAUCUUAUCCAACGCCUGCACAACAAAGCACCCAAAUACACAAUGUAGUGUGAGUCUCACAGAUUAAACUAGUAAAUAAUGCAAACAUAAAUCAAAGUUUUGACUAAUAAUGCAUUACAGUAGAAUCAGCCUGUAUUUUUUAUUUAACAUAGAUGUAGAUUACAUACGCAAUAACCUACCAACCAUCCAAAUCUAGUUUGAAUCAGAAAAGCUAUGCUACAACCAUGCAAAGCUACUUAGGAAUUCGAAUUUAAACACAGAUCCAACAAAAUUAGCACACAGGCAAUCUAGUCAUGGGAUUGUUUUACAUUUUAUAAAGCCUGUCCGCCUAUAGGAAAAUUUAUAAUUCAAGUGAGCGUUUCCUAAGCCUUUAUAACAGUCCAAUAAUCUCUAACCAUGAAGAUCUGCACGUGCGACUGUACAGAGAAUAAACAAACAUAUAUUCCAGUGAGCGUUUCCUAAGCUUUUAGGACAGUACAAUUAGCUCAAUCAUGUAGAUCUGCACGUGCGACAGUACAUACAGAGAACAAACAAAUGCACAUCUACGUUAUACUACUCACUAGCACAUACAUGGAAACUUACGAUGCAAGUAAUGAUGUUUCCUAAGCUUUUAUAACAGUCAAUUAGCUCUAAUCAUGGAGACUCGCACGUGCAACAGGACAGAGAACAAACAAAUGUGUAGCCACGUCCUACUCACAGACAACAGAACAUCGCACAAACCGCAGGUUCGUCGAUGGAUUUGAAAUCCGAUGCACUAACCGGCGCGAACCGACAGACGCACCCGACCUACUGAACAUCGGUACGGCAAAGGGCCCUAUCGCGCACGGAUCUAAACAGAGCCGCGAAUCACAGCAUUACAGGGGAGCGGCGGAGCGCGGGGGAGGGAGCUUACAUCCGAGGCGUUGGAGAUGAGCUCGCGGAGGAAGAUCUCCUUGUUGGAGUAGAAGGUGUUGAUGAUGAGCGAGAGCAGCUGGUUGAUCUCGGCCUGGAAGGCGAAGGUCUCGGUCUCCGAAGCCAUGGCGCCGCCGGCACCGGAAGCUCCUGGAACGCGCGCGCUGGGGUUGGGAGGAGAGGAGAUGGCUUAGGGUUAGGGCUCUGGAGCAGGGGUUCUCGGGUUCUGGGACGCAAGGUUGGAGGGGACGGGCGCCGGGGCCAGGGUUAUAUAGUCGGAAGAGGGGUUCUCGAACGUUCUGCCAGGUGCGGGAAGGGGAGACGACGGGGGGUUGGGGGGACGACGGGUCGUUGGGCCCGGCGACUUGGGAUGGUGUGGCCCGCAUGUCAGUUGGCUGGGCUUAGGCGCCUUGCGGUUUUGUUUUUUUUAUUGUGCUCCUACUAUAGUACUCUGGAACGUUCCGGAGAUCGGAGGGACCGAGGGAGUGAGUUUAAUAAAGGACCCCAGAGACUCUAAAAAAAGGACUCCGUAAUUGGAACUCAUUUUCCUUUUGCGGUUCCAUAUUUAGCACGCCGAGCCAUGCCAAUUGCCAAUACCAUAUGGCUGCUAACACACCGUAAAUAAAUAUACAGUAAGAUUUUCUACGUGUUUUCUCAUGGUGUUGGUUUAGUGUUUGUUUUCCUGUUCGUCUGAGUAAAACUGAUUAUUUGUUCUGCGAUCAGAUAAAUUCAUUCAUGCUUUUAAUAAUUUUGAAUAUAAAAAAGUGCAAAGAGGUCCAGAGGUUAAAAAAAACUCAAAUAAUAAGUGUCACACUCACACGCGUGACACGAAGCACUCCGGUCCUAACGAUUUUUACAACUAAAGUUGUCGUCCGAAAAAAAAAACUGAAAUUCGCCAUCCGAAAAGAAUUUUGUUAUUCUCAUGUCCUCAAAUUUGCCAAAGAAAAUAUUCAGAAUUGCCAUGUGUUCAUGCCACAGUGACACUUAUCAAGGUCUUAAAAAUAAAGCUAAGACUUUCACCGAGGACAUGCGGAAACAUAUUUCUUUUUUCUUGAAACAAAGGCAUAAGAUUUGCCUCAUCAAUUAAAUAAAAAGAGAACAAAGUUUAGAGUUUUACAACACCCACAAAUACGACAUAGCAAUUACUCGCCCAUACAAAUAUCUCCUAAUUUUUUUGUGCCCGCGGUCACCCAAAGCUUGGCCUCGUGGACAAUGGCAGUGAGAAGAAUGGUCGUUGGCGCACUCUUAUGACGAAACACCCGUGCAUUUCUUUCAUUCCAAAUGGUCCAGGAGACAAGUAUGGUGAGAGAGGCCAAAGCUUGCCGGUUGGGGUUGCGAUUGUCGGUUCUCUUGUCCCAUCAUUCGUAGACAGAUUCAUACAUGUGCCACUCGGAUGUAUCUAUGUGCGCGAGACCAAGCCUCUCAAUGAGAGACUUCCAUAUCCGAAUUGUAAAGCGGCACUUGAAGAAAAUGUGGGCACCUGUUUCUUGCUCCCUGUUGCAAAGUUUGCAGAGGCAACAAUUUGGCCAACCUCGUUGCUGUAAACGAUCGGCAAUCCAAAUCCUAUCUUGUAUUGCCAACCAUGCAAAAAAAUUAACCUUUGAAGGUGCCCAUGCCUUCCAAGCCAUACGGUCCAAGGGGGAAAGAGUCAAGCCUAGGAAUUGAGCCUUGUACGCAGUGGCCGCCGUGUAUAUCCCGUCGUUCGCGUGCUUCUAGAUGAUGGUAUCUUCAGUUUGCUCAUGAAGGUGGACAUCAUUCAGGAGCAUCCAAAAAGUGAAAAAUUCCCGAAUGUGGGCUACGGUUACAACCGCGACUUGGUUGAUCUUGAGUAUCCAAGCGUUCCCCUUGAGGGCCUCACGGACCUUCCAACUCUUUCGUUUCGAGGCCUCAAAGAUGAGGGGUGCAAUAUCCUUAGGUUUGUGACCAAGGAGCCACGGGGAAUCCCAAAAAGGCGUUUUGGCACCAUCUCCCACCAUGAUAGUCGUAGAAGCAUAGAAAAACUCGAAGUCCUUGACGGUGCAGGGGUUUCUCAGGCCAACCCAUAAUUUGCGGGGCUCGUUCCAUUCAUACCACAACCAUCAAAGUCGCAAAAGCACGUGCGAAUUUGUCGGUGUUGAGCACCCCCAGGCCACCGUAUUCUUUUGGUCUACAAACCACCUUCCAGUUGACCUUGCAUUUGGCUCCCGUUGUCUUGUCCGCACCGGACCAAAGAAAAGCCCUCUCAAUUUUGUUAAGGCUAUCGAGGCAGCCCUGAGGCACAACGAGGGGCGUGAUGGAGAACACCGCUUGGGAGGAGAUGACCGACCUAACAAGAGUCGUACGACCGAUGGUAGUAAUGUUUUGGCCCUCUCAGGAAACCAAUUUUCCGGUCGCCUUAUCCUCAAGGUAUUGGAAAUCCAUCUUCUUAAGUUGCCAAACUGAAAGUGGGAGGCCUAGGUAUUUGAUCAGAAAAGUGGCCCGUUGUCGGUGUCAAAACCGGCGGAUCUCGGGUAGGGGGUCCCGAACUGUGCGUUUAGGCGGAUGGUAACAGGAGGCAGGGGACACGAUGUUUUACCCAGAUUCAAGCCCUCUUGAUGGAGGUAAAACCCUACGUCCUGCUUGAUUAAUAUUGAUGAUAUGGGUAGUACAAGAGUAGAUCUACCACGAGAUCAGAGAGGCUAAACCCUAGAAGCUAGCCUAUGGUAUGAUUGUUGUUCGUCCUACGGACUAAAACCCUCUGGUUUAUAGACACCGGAGAGGGCUAGGGUUACACAGAGUCGGAUACAAUGGUAGGAGAUCUACAUAUCCGUAUCGCCAAGCUUGCCUUCCACGCCAAGGAAAGUCCCUUCCGGACACGGGACGAAGUCUUCGAUCUUGUAUCUUCAUAGUCCAGGAGUCCGGCCGAAGGUAUAGUCCGGCUAUCCGGACACCCCCUAAUCCAUGACUCCCUCAGUAGCCCCUGAACCAGGCUUCAAUGACGACGAGUCCGGCGCGCAGAUUGUCUUCGGCAUUGCAAGGCGGGUUCCUCCUCCAAGUACUUCGUAGAAGAUUUUAAACACAAAGGUAGUGUCCGGCUCUGCAAAAUAAGUUUCCACAUAUUGCCAUAGAGAGAAUAAUAUUUACACAAAUCUAAUCUGCUGACGUAUUCCGUAGCAUGACAUCACACCACGGUAAAGUCUUUAUUUACUGUUCUACCUCAGCGCGUUUAGCGAGGCGGUUUCCUUGGCACGUCUUGUCAAAGCAGAGGUCGUGUCCCCUUAUUCCGGGAUUCUCAUCAAUACGGGCGUGGGUAACCCAACCGCGCCAUUGAUUAUGAUGCUUGGGAGAUAAGCGAGGUUUACCAGGCUGGUGGGGACGCAUAGUCGCGCCCACCCAUAUAAGUGAAGGAAAUAUGCCAUAGAGGCAAUAAUAAAGUUAUUAUUUAUUUCCUUAUUUCAUGAUAAAUGUUUAUUAUUCAUGCUAGAAUUGUAUUAACCGGAAACAUAAUACAUGUGUGAAUACAUAGACAAACAGAGUGUCACUAGUAUGCCUCUACUUGACUAGCUCGUUAAUCAAAGAUGGUUAUGUUUCCUAACCAUGGACAAAGAGUUGUUAUUUGAUUAACGGGAUCACAUCAUUAGUUGAAUGAUCUGAUUGACAUGACCCAUUCCAUUAGCUUAGCACCCGAUCGUUUAGUAUGUUGCUAUUGCUUUCUUCAUGACUUAUACAUGUUCCUAUGACUAUGAGAUUAUGCAACUCCCGUUUGCCGGAGGAACACUUUGUGUGCUACCAAACGUCACAACGUAACUGGGUGAUUAUAAAGGAGCUCUACAGGUGUCUCCAAAGGUACAUGUUGGGUUGGCGUAUUUUGAGAUUAGGAUUUGUCACUCCGAUUGUCGGAGAGGUAUCUCUGGGCCCUCUCGGUAAUGCACAUCACUGAAGCCUUGCAAGCAUUGCAACUAAUAAGUUAGUUGCGGGAUGAUGUAUUACGAAACGAGUAAAGAGACUUGCCGGUAACGAGAUUGAACUAGGUAUUGGAUACCGACGAUCGAAUCUCGGGCAAGUAACAUACCGAUGACAAAGGGAACAACGUAUGUUAUUAUGCGGUCUGACCGAUAAAAGAUCUUCGUAGAAUAUGUAGGAGCCAAUAUGAGCAUCCAGGUUCCGCUAUUGGUUAUUGACCGGAGAUGUGUCUCGGUCAUGUCUACAUUGUUCUCGAACCCGUAGGGUCCGCACGAUUAAGGUUACGAUGACAGUUAUAUUAUGAGUUUAUGUAUUUUGAUGUACCGAAGUUUUUUCGGAGUCCCGGAUGUGAUCACGGACAUGACGAGGAGUCUCGAAAUGGUCGAGACAUAAAUAUUGAUAUAUUGGAAGCCUAUAUUUGGAUAUCGGAAGCGUUCCGGGUGAAAUCAGGAUUUUACCAGAUUACCGGGAGGUUACCGGAACCCCCCGGGAGGUAUAUGGGCCUUAGUGGGCCUUAGUGGAAGAGAGGAGAGGUGUCCAGAGAUGGGCCGUGCGCCCCUCCCCCCCUUUGGUCCGAAUAGGACAAGGAGAGGGGGCCGGCCCCCCUUCCUCCUCUCUCUCCUCUUUUCCCCCCUCCGCGAAUCCUAUUCCAACUAGGAAAGGGGGGAGUCCUACUCCCGAAGGAGUAGGACUCCUCCUGGCGCGCCACCUCUUGGCCGGCCAGCCCCCCCCCCCUUGAGCCUUUAUAUACGGNNNNNNNNNNNNNNNNNNNNNNNNNNNNNNNNNNNNNNNNNNNNNNNNNNNNNNNNNNNNNNNNNNNNNNNNNNNNNNNNNNNNNNNNNNNNNNNNNNNNNNNNNNNNNNNNNNNNNNNNNNNNNNNNNNNNNAUUCUUAGCCGUGUGCGGUGCCCCCUUCCACCAUAGUCCUCGAUAAUAUUGUAGCGGCGCUUAGGCGAAGCCCUGCGACGGUAGUACAUCAAGAUCGUCACCACGCCUUCGUGCUGAUGGAACUCUUCCCCGACACUUUGCUGGAUCGGAGUCCGGGGAUCGUCAUCGAGCUGAACGUGUGCUAGAACUCGGAGGUGCCGUAGUUUCGGUGCUUGAUCGGUCGGGCCGUGGAGACGUAUGACUACAUCAACCAAGUUAACGCUUUCGUUGUCGAUCUACAAGGGUACGUAGAUCACACUCUCCCCCCUCUCGUUGCUAUGCAUCACCAUGAUCUUGCGUGUGCGUAGGAAAAUUUUGAAAUUACUACGAAACCCAACAGUGGCAUCCGAGCCUAGGUUUUAUAUGUUGAUGUUAUAUGCACGAGUAGAACACAAGUGAGUUGUGGGCCAUAUAAGUCAUACUGCUUACCAGCAUGUCAUACUUUGGUUCGGCGGUAUGGUUGGACGAAGCGGCCCGGACCGACAUUACGCGUACGCUUACGCGAGACCGGUUCUCCCGACGUGCUUUGCACAAAGGUGGCUAGCGGGUGACAGUUUCUCCAACUUUAGUUGAACCGAGUGUGGCUACGCCCGGUCCUUGCAAAGGUUAAAAUAGCACCAACUUGACAAACUAUCGUUGUGGUUUUGAUGCGUAGGUAAGAUUGGUUCUUGCUUAAAGCCCAUAGCAGCCACGUAAAACUUGCAACAACAUAGUAGAGGACGUCUAACUUGUUUUUGCAGGGCAUGUUGUGAUGUGAUAUGGUCAAGACAUGAUGCUAAAUUUUAUUGUAUGAGAUGAUCAUGUUUUGUAACCGAGUUAUCGGCAACUGGCAGGAGCCAUAUGAUUGUUGCUUUAUUGUAUGCAAUGCAAUCGCGCUGUAAUGCUUUACUUUAUCACUAAGCGGUAACGAUAGUCGUGGAAGCAUAAGAUUGGCGAGACGACAACGAUGCUACGAUGGAGAUCAAGGUGUCGCGCCGGUGACAAUGGUGAUCACGAGGGUGCUUCGAAGAUGGAGAUCACAAGCACAAGAUGAUGAUGGCCAUAUCAUAUCACUUAUAUUGAUUGCAUGUGAUGUUUAUCUUUUAUGCAUCUUAUCUUGCUUUGAUUGACGGUAGCGUUAUAAGAUGAUCUCUCACUAAUUAUCAAGAAGUGUUCUCCCAGAGUAUGCACCGUUGUGAAAGUUCUUCGUGCUGAGGCACCACGUGAUGAUUGGGUGUGAUAGGCUCUACGUUCAAAUACAACGGGUGCAAAACAGUUGCACAUGCGGAAUACUCAGGUUAUACUUGACGAGCCAAGCAUAUACAGAUAUGGCCUUGGAACACGGAGACCGAAAGGUCGAGCGUGAAUCAUAUAGUAGAUAUGAUCAACAUAGUGAUGUUCACCAAUGAAACUACUCCAUCUCACGUGAUGAUCGGACAUGGUUUAGUUGAUUUGGAUCACGUGAUCACUUAGAGGAUUAGAGGGAUGUCUAUCUAAGUGGGAGUUCUUAAGUAAUAUGAUUAAAUUGAACUUAAAUUUAUCAUGAACUUAGUCCCGGUAGUAUUUUGCAAAUCAUGUUGUAGAUCAAUAGCUCGCGUUGUUGCUUCUCUGUGUUUAUUUUGAUAUGUUCCUAGAGAAAAUUGUGUUGAAAAAUGUUAGUAGCAAAAAUGCGGAUUGGACCUGUGAUCUGAGGUUUAUCCUCAUUGCUGCACAGAAGAAUUAUGUCCUUAAUGCACCGCUAGGUGACGGACCUAUUGCAGGAGCAGAUGCAGAUGUUAUGAACGUUUGGCUAGCUCAAUAUGAUGACUACUUGAUAGUUUAGUGCAUCAUGCUUAACGGCUUAGAAUCGGGACUUCAAAGACGUUUUUGAACGUCAUGGACCAUAUGAGAUGUUCCAGGAGUUGAAGUUAAUAUUUCAAGCAAAUACCCGAGUUGAGAGAUAAGAAGUCUCCAACAAGUUCUAUAGCUAAAAGAUGGAGGAGAAUCGCUCAACUAGUGAGCAUGUGCUCAGAUUGUCUGGGUACUACAAUCGCUUGAAUCAAGUGGGAGUUAAUCUUCCAGAUAAAAUAGUAAUCGACAGAAUUCUCUAGUCACCGUCACCAAGUUAGUAGAACUUCAUGAUGAACUAUAUUAUGCAAGGGAUGACGAAAAUGACUCCCAAGCUUUUCAUGAUGAUGAAAUCAAUGAAGGUAGAAAUCAAGAAAGAGCAUCAAGUGUUGAUGGUUGACAAGAGCACUAGUUUCAAGAAAAAGGGCAAAGGGAAGAAGGGGAACUUCAAGAAGAACGGCAAGCAAGUUGCUGCUCAAGUGAAGAAGCCCAAGUCUGGUCCUAAGCCUGAGACUAAGUGCUUCUACUGCAAAGGGACCGGUCACUGGAAGCAGAACUACCCCAAGUGAUUGGCGGAUAAGAAGGAUGGCAAAGUGAACAUAAGUAUAUUUGAUAUACAUGUUAUUGAUGUGUACUUUACUAGUGUUUAUAGCAACCCCUCAGUAUUUGAUACUAAUUCAGUUGCUAGGAGUAGUAACUCGAAAUGGGAGUUGCAAAAUGAACAGAGACUAGUUAAGGGUGAAGUGACGAUGUGUGUUGGAAGUGGUUCCAAGAUUGAUAUGAUCAUCAUCACACACUCUCUAUACUUUCGGGAUUAGUGUUGAACCUACAUAAGUGUUAUUUGGUGUUUGCGUUGAGCAUGAAUAUGAUUUGAUCAUGUUUAUUGCAAUACAGUUAUUCAUUUAAGUUAGAGAAUAAUUGUUGUUCUGUUUACAUGAAUAAAACCUUAUAUGGUUACACACCCAAUGAGAAUGGUUCAUUGGAUCUCGAUCGUAGUGAUACACAUAAUCAUAAUAUUGAAACCAAAAGAUGCAAAGUUAAUAAUGAUAGUGCAACUUAUUUGUGGCACUGCUGUUUAGGUCAUAUUGGUGUAAAGCGCAUCAAGAAACUCCAUGUUGAUGGGCUUUUGGGAUCACUUGAUUAUGAAUCAGUUGAUGCUUGCGAACCAUGCCUCAUGGGCAAGAUGACUAAGACUCUGUUCUUCGGAACAAUGGAGCGAGCAACAGAUUUGUUGGAAAUCAUACAUACUGAUGUAUGUGGUCCAAUAAAUAUUGAGGCUCGCGACAGGUAUCAUUAUUUUCUGAUCUUCACAGAUGAUUUGAGCAUAUAUAAGCAUAUCUACUUGAUCAAACACAAGUCUGAAACAUUUGAAAAGUUCAAAGAAUUUCAGAGUGAAGUGGAGAAUCAUCGUAACAAAAAUAAAAGUUUCUACGAUAUGAUCGCAGAAGUAAAAUAUUUGAGUUACGAGUUUGGCCUUCAAUUAAAAACAAUGUGAAAUAGUUUCACUACUCACGCCACCUGGAACACCACAGUGUAAUGGUGUGUCCGAACAUCAUAACCGUACUUUAUUAGAUAUGGUGCGAUCUAUGAUAUCUCUUACCGAUCUACCACUAUCGUUUUGGGGUUAUGCAUUAAAGACAGUUGCAUUCACAUUUAAAAGGGCACCAUCUAAAUCCGUUGAGACGACACAAUCUGAACUGUGGUUUGGCAAGAAACCAAAGUUGUCAUUUCUUAAAGUUUGGGAUUGUGAUGCUUAUAUGAAAAAGUUUCAUCCUGAUAAGCUCAAACCCAAAUCGGAGAAAUAUGUCUUCAUAGGAUACCCAAAGGAGACUAUUGGGUACACUUUCUAUCACAAAUCCGAAGGCAAGACAUUCGUUGCUAAGAAUGGAUCCUUUCUAGAGAAGGAGUUUUUCUCGAAAGAAGUGAGUGGGAGGAAAGUAGAAAACUUGAUAAGGUAAUUGUACCUUCUCCCUUAUUGGAAAAUAGUUCAUCACAGAAAUCUGUUCUUGUGACUACUACACUAAUUAGUGAGGAAGCUAAUGAUGAUGAUCAUGUAACUUCAGAUCAAGUUACUACCGAAUCUCAUAGGUAAACCAGAGUGAGAUCCGCACCAGAGUGGUACGGUAAUCCUGUUCUGGAAGUCAUGUUACUAGACCAUGACGAACUUGUAAACUAUGAGGAAGCGAUGAUGAGCCCAGAUUCCGCAAAAUGGCUUGAGGCCAUGAAAUCUGAGAUGGGAUCCAUGUAUGAGAACAAAGUAUGGACUUUGGUUGACUUGCCCGAUGAUCGGCAAGCCAUAGAAAAUAAAUGGAUCUUCAAGAGGAAGACGGACGCUGAUAGUAGUGUUACUAUCUACAAAGCUAGAAUUGUCGCAAAAGGUUUUUGACAAGUUCAAGGUGUUGACUACGAUGAGAGUUUCUCACUCGUAUCUAUGCUUAAAUCUGUCCGAAUCAUGUUAGCAAUUGCCGCAUUUUAUGAAAUCUGGCAAAUGGAUAACAAAACUGCAAUCCUUAAUGAAUUUCUUAAAGAAGAGUUGUAUAUGAUGCAACCAGAAGUUUUUUUCAAUCCUAAAGGUGUUAACAAAAUAUGCAAAUUCCAGCGAUCCAUCUAUGGACUGGUGUAAGCAUCUCGGAGUUGGAAUAUACGCUUUGAUAAGUUGAUCAAAGCAUAUAGUUUUAUACAUACUUGCGGUGAAGCCUGUAUUUACAAGAAAUUGAGUGGGAGCACUACAACAUUUCUGAUAAGUAUAUGUGAAUGACAUAUUGUUGAUCGAAAAUAAUGUAGAAUUAUUCUGCAAAGCAUAAAGGAGUAUUUGAAAGGAGUUUUUCAAAGAAAGACCUCGGUGAAGUUGCUUACAUAUUGAGCAUCAAGAUCUAUAGAGAUAGAUCAAGACGCUUGAUAAGGUUUUUCAAUAAAUACAUACCUUGACAAGAUUUUGAAGUAGUUCAAAAUGGAACCGUCAAAGAAAGAGUUUCUUGCCUAUGUUACAAGGUGUGAAAUUGAGUAAAACUCAAAGCCCGACCACGGCAGAAGAUAGAAAGAGAAUGAAUGUCAUUCCCUAUGCCUUGGUCAUAGGUUCUAUAAAGUAUGCCAUGCUGUGUUCCAGAUCUAUUGUAUACCCUACCACUGAGUUUGGCAAGGGAGUACAAUAGUGAUCUAGGAGUAGAUCACUAGACAGCGGUCAAAAUUAUCCUUAGUGGAAUAAGGAUAUGUUUCUCGAUUGUGGAAGUGAAAAAAGGUUCGUCGUAAAGGGUUACGCCGAUGCAAGUUUUGACACUAAUCUAGAUGAAUCUAAGUCUCAAUCUAGAUACAUAUUGAAAGUGGGAGCAAUUAGCUAGAGUAGCUCCGUGCAGAGCAUUGUUGACAUAAAUAUUUGCAAAAUACUAACGGAUCUGAAUAUAACAGACCCGGUGACUAAAAUUAUCUCACAAGCAAAACAUGAUCACACCUUAGUACUCUUUGGGUGUUAAUCACAUAGUGAUGUGAACUAGAUUACUGACUCUAUUAAACCCUUUGGGUGUUGGUCACAUAUCGAUGUGGACUAUGGGUGUUAAUCACAUGGCGAUGUGAACUAUUGCUAUUAAAUCACAUGGCGAUGUGAACUAGAUUAUUGACUCUAGUGCAAGUGGGAGACUGAAGGAAAUAUGCCCUAGAGGCAAUAAUAAAGUUAUUAUUUAUUUCCUUAUUUCAUGAUAAAUGUUUAUUAUUCAUGCUAGAAUUGUAUUAACCGGAAACAUAAUACAUGUGUGAAUACAUAGACAAACAGAGUGUCACUAGUAUGCCUCUACUUGACUAGCUCGUUAAUCAAAGAUGGUUAUGUUUCCUAACCAUGGACAAAGAGUUGUUAUUUGAUUAACGGGAUCACAUCAUUAGUUGAAUGAUCUGAUUGACAUGACCCAUUCCAUUAGCUUAGCACCCGAUCGUUUAGUAUGUUGCUAUUGCUUUCUUCAUGACUUAUACAUGUUCCUAUGACUAUGAGAUUAUGCAACUCCCGUUUGCCGGAGGAACACUUUGUGUGCUAUCAAACGUCACAACGUAACUGGGUGAUUAUAAAGGAGCUCUACAGGUGUCUCCAAAGGUACAUGUUGGGUUGGCGUAUUUUGAGAUUAGGAUUUGUCACUCCGAUUGUCGGAGAGGUAUCUCUGGGCCCUCUCGGUAAUGCACAUCACUGAAGCCUUGCAAGCAUUGCAACUAAUAAGUUAGUUGCGGGAUGAUGUAUUACGAAACGAGUAAAGAGACUUGCCGGUAACGAGAUUGAACUAGGUAUUGGAUACCGACGAUCGAAUCUCGGGCAAGUAACAUACCGAUGACAAAGGGAACAACGUAUGUUAUUAUGCGGUCUGACCGAUAAAAGAUCUUCGUAGAAUAUGUAGGAGCCAAUAUGAGCAUCCAGGUUCCGCUAUUGGUUAUUGACCGGAGAUGUGUCUCGAUCAUGUCUACAUUGUUCUCGAACCCGUAGGGUCCGCACGCUUAAGGUUACGAUGACAGUUAUAUUAUGAGUUUAUGCAUUUUGAUGUACCGAAGUUUGUUCGGAGUCCCGGAUGUGAUCACGGACAUGACGAGGAGUCUCGAAAUGGUCGAGACAUAAAUAUUGAUAUAUUGGAAGCCUAUAUUUGGAUAUCGGAAGCGUUCCGGGUGAAAUCAGGAUUUUACCGGAUUACCGGGAGGUUACCGGAACCCCCCGGGAGGUAUAUGGGCCUUAGUGGGCCUUAGUGGAAGAGAGGAGAGGUGUCCAGAGAUGGGCCGUGCGCCCCUCCCCCCUUUGGUCCGAAUAGGACAAGGAGAGGGGGCCGGCCCCCCUUCCUCCUCUCUCUCCUCUUUUCCCCCCUCCGCGAAUCCUAUUCCAACUAGGAAAGGGGGGAGUCCUACUCCCGAAGGAGUAGGACUCCUCCUGGCGCGCCACCUCUUGGCCGGCCACCCCCCCUUUGAGCCUUUAUAUACGGAGGCAAGGGGCACCCCUAGAGACACAAGUUGAUCCACGUGAUCAUAUUCUUAGCCGUGUGCGGUGCCCCCUUCCACCAUAGUCCUCGAUAAUAUUAUAGCGGCGCUUAGGCGAAGCCCUGCGACGGUAGUACAUCAAGAUCUUAACCACGCCGUCGUGCUGACGGAACUCUUCCCCGACACUUUGCUGGAUCGGAGUCCAGGGAUCGUUAUCGAGCUGAACGUGUGCUAGAACUCGGAGGUGCCGUAGUUUCGGUGCUUGAUCGGUCGGGCCGUGGAGACGUACGACUACAUCAACCAAGUUAACGCUUCCGUUGUCGAUCUACAAGGGUAUGUAGAUCACACUCUCCCCCUCUCGUUGCUAUGCAUCACCAUGAUCUUGCGUGUGCGUAGGAAAAUUUUGAAAUUACUACGAAACCCAACAAUAAGGGGAUAAGCAUCCAUCUUUUCAUCCACGCCUUCUUCCUCCUUUGCCUAUCCAUUUCCGCGCACUCGAGCUACAGCGCCCAAGUCCGCACACCCCACCUCAACCUUCUCCAGCCAUGUCCGGAGCGGGAGGCAAGUGGAUGGUCUCCUCCGUCACGGAGGGACACAUCAAAAGACCGAGGAAGGCCAGAUACUUGUCUAACGACAUUGCGCACCGGCUUCCCGAAGAGGGGCAGCUCAUCCCCACCCCUAGGCCCCAUGAGAGGGUGGUGUUCCUCCCUCAUUUUCUCCGCGGACUGGGCUUUCCUCUCCACCCAUUUGUCCGGGGGCUCAUGUUCUACUAUGGCCUGGAUUUCCAUGAUCUGGCCCCGAACUUUGUCCUCAACAUCUCGGCGUUCAUCGUCGUGUGCGAGGCUUUCUUCCGCAUCCGCCCCCAUUUCGGCCUAUGGCUCAAGACUUUCAAUGUCAAGCCGAAGGUGGUGCGCGGCACCCAGGCGGAGUGCGGAUGCGCCAUGGUGGGCAAGAUGCCCAACUUUCUAUGGCUCGAGGGCUCCUUCAUGGAGUCCCUAAAGGGGUGGCAAUCGGGGUGGUUUUACAUCACCGAGCCGCGCGACCCUGAAUGGGUCGCAGCCCCCGAGUUUCAUUCCGGAUCCCCUACGCGGCUCGCCUCCUGGAAAGAGACGGGCCUGUCGUGGGGUAAAAAAGGAGAGCUGACUGGACUCCAAACAUGCGUCCAAACCCUGGUGAACAAGAAGCUCAAACUCGUCAACGUAGUCCAGGUUAUGCUCAUCCGCCGGAUUCUCCCGUGUCAACAACGGGCCUUCAACCUGUGGGAGUUCGACCCAGCGCGGCAUCAAACUCUGAGCAGGCUCUUCGACACGACGUACGAAGAUGCCUAGAAGGUGCUUUUCAAGGGCGCCGAGGCCCCCGCAUUCGCUACCGAGGAUCGCGGAUUCAGCACGCAGCGUCACGCUCGCGCGGUAAGCUGUUUUUUACCUUUUACAGGGUAUUUAGUUUUUCAUAGUUUGACUCCAUGCGGGAUCUAAGCUCUCUUGCCUUUGACAGGAUUGGCAGGAGACGUCCGGACAGAUCAACUGUCCGACUUCUUUGCCCGAAGGCCCAGCGGACGCUCGUUUGGCGAAUAUGCUUGUUCCGGCACCCUAUGUGGUGCCGGAGAAGAAGGCCAAGAAGAAGGCCACGGGGACUCGAAAGAGUGCCCGGCGCUAGGAGGUGUCGGAUUCAUCAUCCGACGACUCCAAGGCGCACUCCUCCCACGAAGACGAGGAGGAGGAAGAAGAGACCUCUCCCCCUCCAGCGGGGGAAGGGAAGAAAAUGAAGGCCGCCCCAACUGGGGAGGCCGAAGGGUCCAAGAAGAGGAAGACCCCUCCUCCGGACUACUCCACCAACGCCGACGACGGCGAAGAGGAGUGGCUGCACAGGGCCAAGCCCCUGGCAAGAUCGUAAGUAUCCGGAUACCAGAGUGAUUCAUAGUAUUCCCCCAUUGUGCAGCUUUUCCUUACGUCGAACAUGUUUAUGCAGUCCACCCAAAGACCGGCUUGACGUGUCAUCGAGCGGUUCCCUGGAUUCGUCGGAUGUGAAUUCGCUUCCGACGGCUACCUCCCCCCAUCCUACGGACGACGCCGAGGCAGCGUCCCAACAGGUUCCGAGCUAGGAGGAGGUGGUCCUAGAUGCGCCGCAAGGCGACCUCCCGGACUCCAGGCGUGAAGGGGAUAGAACCCCCAAGGGUUCCAAGUCCAGCUUUGAGCCGGACACCGCGCCGGAACCUUCAACGGUUCCGGACUCCGGUAGGCAGCCUCCUUCCAAGAGGAGCAAGCCUACCGAGCCGGUGACCUCCGUCCAACCGGAGGCACCGGACAAUUUGCUGGAGGUGCUUAACGGCGCCUCCAUCGACGAGGAGCACCGCACUAUUAUGAGUGCAGUGAUCCAGAAGGUUCAGUCCGCCAAGAGCGGACUGACUGAAGCCUGUGCCAGCCUUCCAACAGGCUCCGAGGUAAGUAAAGAAUAUGUAAAAAUAUGCCGGCUUCGCUGCUAGCAUCCGCCGCACUGACUGCGGAGGUGGGCACGCUGAAGCAGAACCUCGAGCGGUCCGAGAACGAGCUCGGCCAUGCCAAGAGGCAACUCGAGGAGACGGAAGGUAAGAAAUACCUUAUUGAAAUAUGUGAAUGGUGCCAUUGCAAAAAGUGACAGGAUUAACGCAGCUAUUGUAGGGGCCACAACUGAGGUGGCGACCCUUAAGCAAGCGCUGUCCGAGGCCGAGAAGAGGGCGGCCACGGAGCGCACUGAGCGGGAGAAGCAUGAGACGCAGGUUGGCGAGGUGCGGCAAGAGCUCCAGGCUCUCAUGAAAAAACAUGAGAGUUUGGAGCUUGACUCAAAGACGCGAGAGUCUGAGCUCGCGGCGGCCAUUGAAGAUGCCAAGUCUGCCAAGGUCGAAGCCCAGAAGGCCCUCCAGGAGGUUGAGGCAAUAAAAAAGAUAGCGGCGGGUAAGGCAUUCUUUAUGCAAAGCAAGCACAUAAAAGUGAAUUACUUCUUACUUACCCAAAUCCGAAGCUCUCCAGGAGCAUUCGCAGACUUGUCCCAUAGCGUGUCGGAUGCCGCCGCCUUCUACCGAGCCGAGGAGGGGAGCUCGACGGAGAAGGUGUUCUGGUCUCAAUAUGCUGAGGCCGAACACCCGAUGCCCUUAAGCGACCAGCUGAAACAGCUGGUUGAGCUCCAUAAGGUGGCCGAACAAGCCAUGAAGGGCCUCAUAGUCUGGCUGUGGCUUGGAGAGGUCAUGUCUGGGAGCUACUUUGGGCUGGUGAGGCGGCUGGUGGAGGCCUGUCCAAGGCUCGAAGUCAUCAAGUGCUCUGUAUGCAUCGAGGGUGCCCGUAGGGCGCUUGCCCAUGCGAAGGUGCACUGGGGCAAGCUGGAUGCUGAGAAGCUUGUGAAGGACGGGCCACCGCCGGGCAAGGAGCAUCGCAAGCCCGAGAUGUAUUAUGAGAGCGUUUUGAAGGGUGCCCGCCUUGUGGCGGAUGAAUGUUCCAUGAAUGUAAUUUUUCAGUAAACUCGCUUGUUUUGUCCUGUGCGCUAAGCAAUGCUUUUUGAAUUUAAAAUAUUACCUUCUGUGCGGCCAUUUAUUAAAUUUGAGAGAUGGCGAGUCGCCGGCUUCUGCCCUCAUGGCACGAGUGUUGGGGUGUUCAGGAUAAACAUGAGCGCUCUUUUUCCCAUUCUUGGGUUCUUCGAGGGAGGUGCUCAACACAAUGAACAAGGCAAUCGGACUAUAAUGCUUGAACACUCUCACUUAGCCAUAGAAUUCUAUAAUUUUAAAUUUCGGCGAAGCCCCUAGUGUUCGGAAGACCGAGUUCGGGGCGCUAUCCACGCCUAGGCCGGACAAAGCCGACUCCUCGCUCUAAGCGGCAUAAGUCUUUAAGGACUCGAAAACCUCUUGAACAGCGACCAGCUCUCGCCUCAUCAUGACGGUCAGUUUUAGCUUUCUGUACUGAGGUGCUUAGCCCAACUCAACUGGGGCACAAUCGCAGUAGUUCUCCUAGUGCUACCUUAGCCGAUAUAACGGAACGUAAGGUACCAAAACAUAGGAGCCGGGCAAACCCAACUAUUGACCCAAGACAUGAUUCGGAGCCAAUGCAUAUAAUGUUAUAAGUUCGGGGUGCCGCACUUGUGAAAGUGUUCGGACUUCUCACACUGUAUUGUGGGGUACUUAAGCCCCUGUCAUAUUGGCCGUACCAAAGUGUACGGGUGCAACAUGUCAUUAAUGAACACAUAUUCGUAAAAAAAGUAAUGCAAUAAUGGACGGAAGCUAUGCAUUGUUUAUUUAAAAAAGCUGCGUUCAAAGCAGAACGAUACAAAUACUGUAAUAAGCAAAAGAUGGGACUAUUUAACAUGUCCUUUCCAGGGGUAAGCUGCGGAAUGUUAUGUGAAACAGGUAUACCGCUCGUUAUAGAGACCACCUUAGAGUUCCAUAGUGCGGCGUAGUUUUCUGCUUCCCUGGUUGUAUCGUCUGUGCGGCAAUUGUACUGCCGGACAAGCCUUCCGAAGAAUGGAGUCCUAAAAAUAAGAGAAAAUUAAGAAAUCGGCAGCCCCUAGUGCGGUUUAAGCCGCGUUUACACUUGCUCGGAACGUGCCCGGUGGUCUUGUUGUAGGUUACUCCGGACGCGCUUGACGGUGUCUAGACGUUUAAUGGCCGGACUGGAGAAUUGCCUUGAGAGGCUGCUUUGUACUUCCGUUGUGAUAGCCGCCGUAUGCUCCUCCGUUCGGAGAGAGCGUUCGGUGUUUCCAUUGACCGUGAUGACUCCUCGAGGGCCUGGCAUCUUGAGCUUGAGGUAUGCAUAGUGCGGCACCGCAUUAAACUUGGUAAAUGCGGUUCGCCCGAGUAGUGUGUGAUAACCACUGCGGAACGGGACUAUGUCGAAGAUUAACUCCUUGCUUCGGAAAUUAUCCGGAGAUCCGAAGACCACUUCAAGUGUAACUGAGCCUGUACAGUUGGCCUCUACACCUGGUAUGACGCCUUUAAAGGUCGUUUUAGUGGGUUUAAUCCUCGAGGGAUCGAUGCCUAUUUUCCGCACUGUAUUCUGGUAAAGCAGGUUCAGGCUGCUGCAGCCGUCCAUAAGGACUCUAGUGAGGUGAAAUCCGUCAAUAAUUGGGUCUAGAACCAAUGCGGCGAAUCCGCCAUGACGGGUGCUAGUGGGGUGGUCCCUUCGAUCAAAAGUGAUCGGGCAGGAAGACCAUGGGUUGAACUUUGGGGUGACUGGCUCCAUCGCGUAUACGUCCCUUAGCGCACGCUUCCGCUCCCUCUUGGGGACGUGGGUUGCGUAUAUCAUGUUCACCGUCCGCACUUGUGGGGGAAAACCUUUCUGUCCACUAUUGUUCGACGGUCGGGGCUCCUCCUCGUCAUCGCUAUGCAGCCCCUUAUCUCUGCUUUCGGCAUUUAACUUGCCCGCCUGCUUGAACACCCAACAAUCCUUGUUGGUGUGAUUGGCUGGUUUUUCGGGGGUGCCAUGUUUCUGGCAUGAGUAGUCGAGUAUUCGGUCCAAAUUGGACGGGCCCGAAGUAUUUCUUUUGAAUGCCUUUUUCCGCUGAACGGGUUUAGAGCCUCUGAAUCCGGCAUUAACUGUCGUAUCCUCAGCAUCGUCGCCGUUAAUGCGGCGCUUUUGCUUGUUGCGACGCGACCUGCCACUGUUGUCCUUGGUAUCCGAAUUACCAGGGCUCUUGGUCAUGUUAUUGCUGCGAGCUAGCCAGCUGUCUUCUCCCGCGCAAAAGCGGGUCAUAAGUGUCGUGAGGGCUGCCAUAGAUUUCGGCUUUUCCUGUCCUAGGUGCCGUGCAAGCCACUCGUCGCGGAUGUUAUGCUUGAAGGCUGCUAGGGCCUCUGCGUCCGGACAGUCGAUGAUUUGAUUUUUCUUGGUUAGGAACCGUGUCCAUAAUUGUCUGGCCGAUUCCUCUGGCUGCUGAAUUAUGUGGCUAAGGUCAUCGGCGUCUGGUGGUCACACAUAAGUGCCCUAGAAAUUGUCGAGGAAUGCGGUUUCCAGGUCCUCCCAACAACCAAUUGAUUCUGCUGGCAAGCUGUUAAGCCAAUGCCGAGCUGGUCCUUUAAGCUUGAGUGGGAGGUAUUUGAUGGCGUGUAGGUCAUCACCGCGGGCCAUGUGGAUAUGAAGGAGAUAGUCGUCGAUCCAUACCGCGGGAUCUGUUGUGCCAUCAUAUGAUUUGAUGUUCACGGAUUUGAAACCCUCAGGGAUUUGAUGAUCCAUUACUUCAUCUGUGAAGCAUAGUGGGUGUGUGUCGCCUCUGUAUUGGGCUAUAUCACGACGCAACUCAAAUGAGCUUUGUCUACUGUGUGCGGCCCGGCCGGAUUGACUGUAUCCGGAGUGACGAUUAUCGUCUCGUGCCGUGGGGCGCCCACGCGAUCCGUAGAUCGAUCUUAUUUGCCUUGCCUUGUCCUCCAAUAUAUCUCGCAGGUCUAGCGCAUUUUCCCAUGCCUUGGUAUUUUUUGAGCGGCGCCGGGGUGCGGCUUGAGUGGAGGGCCGAGAGGCUUCUCUGUCGCGGCCACGGGGUGGCCGAUCGGCCGCAUCAUGCGCUGGUGAUGUAGGUUUAGGUGCUUCCUCCUCUAGUCGGGGUAGCAACCUGUGCUUUGGGUAGCUCUUGGAGGGGCGUUCGAGUUCAUACCCUUCGGCCGCAAGGACUUCAGUCCAUCUGUCGGCUAGCAAAUCUUGACCAGCUCUAAGCUGUUGCUGUUUUUUCUUGAGGCUGCUCGCCGUGGCCAUAAGCCUGCGUUUGAAACGCUCUUGUUCGACGGGAUCCUCCGGCACGACAAAUUCGUCGUCGUCGAGGCUUGCCUCGUCUUCGGAGGGAGGCAUAUAAUUAUCGUCCACACCUCUCUGUCUGUCGCUCUCUCAUGAGGGAUGGCUUCUCCAUCCUCCUAUGCUGAAUUUUGCUGGAGGUGGUUGUCUUCAGCACUGUCCGGGGUGUUAUUAUCUCCCGUGCCAGAAUCACCAUUUUUGCUUUGGCGGGAUUUAGAGCGGCGCCGCUGGCGCCGGCGCUUAGGCUGCUUCUUGGAGGGGUCAUCCUCCGCUGUUCCAUCGCCAUUGCCUUCUUUUGGGGUGUCCACCAUGUAUAUAUCAUACGACGAGGUGGCUUUCCAGUGCCCUAUAGGCGCUGGUUCUUGAUCGUCUCCUGCAUCGGCGUCCAUACUGUCGAUGUCUUCGGAGUCGAAGUCGAGCAUGUCGGUUAAAUUAUCGACAGUGGCUACGAAGUGGGUGGUGGGUGGGCUUUGAAUUUCUUCAUCAUCCGCAUCCCAACCUUGCUGACCAUAGCUUGGCCAGGGCUCUCCUAAAGAGAGAGACUUUAGUGAAUUCAGAAUAUCGCCGAAGGGCGAGUGCUGAAAGAUGUCCGCGGCGGUGAACUCCAUGAUUGGCGCCCAAUCGGGUUCGAUCGGUAGGGGCGCGGAGGGCUCGGAGUCUGGAGAGGAGUCCGGCUCCUUGGAGUCACAGGCUUCGCAGAGAAUAGGGCUGGUGUUCGGCUCGAUCGCCGUAGAGAUUGCAGCCCCCGAGGCGGUGUCCAACCACCCAUCCUUGAUUGGCGCAGUUGGCUCCAAAUUAAGGGUCGGAGCUGAUGCGGGUGCGGCCUCCAGGGCACUGUUCGGCGGUAGAGCUAGAUCAUGCCCAUCGUGACAGUGCGGCGCGCUCGGCUGCGGCUCGAAUCCGUCGAAGAUCAAGUCUCCGCGGAGGUCCGCCGUGUAGUUUAAACUUCCAAAUCUGACCUGACGGCCAGUGGCGUAGCUUUCGAUCUGCUCCAGAUGGCCAAGCGAAUUGGCCCGCAGUGCAAAGCCGCCGAAUACGAAGAUCUGUCCGAGGAGAAAGGUCUCACCCUGGAUCGCAUCGCUGUUAAUGAUUGGAGAAGCCAUCGGGCCUAAAAGUGACGACACAGAGGAACUCUCAAUGAAAGCACCAAUGUCGGUGUCAAAACCGGCGGAUCUCGGGCAGGGUCCCGAACUGUGCGUCUAGGCGGAUGGUAACAAGAGGCAGGGGACACGAUGUUUUACCCAGGUUCGGCCCCUCUUGAUGGAGGUAAAACCCUAUGUCCUACCACGAGAUCAGAGAGGCUAAACCCUAGAAGCUAGCCUAUGGUAUGAUUGUUGUUCGUCCUACGGAUUAAAACUUUCCGGUUUAUAUAGACACCGGAGAGGGCUAGGGUUACACAGAGUCGGUUACAAUGGUAGGAAAUCUACAUAUCCGUAUCGCCAAGCUUGCCUUCCACGCCAAAGAAAGUCCUUUCCGGACACGGGACGAAGUCUUCGAUCUUGUAUCCUCAUAGUCCAGGAGUCCGACCGAAGGUAUAGUCCGGCUAUCCGAACACCCCCUAAUCCAGAACUCCCUCACUCAUCUUGCCGGCAUGCUCUGAAGGAUUUGCUCAAAGUCAAUGUGGUUGCAACGAAUAGGCACAACCGAGCUUUUUUGGAAGUUGAAGCAAAAGCCCGUCACGUCCCCAAAGCCUCUCAGGAUAGAGGCGAGAUUGUCGAUGUCUCGUUUGAUGGGAGCCACAAAGACCGCCGCAUCGUCCGCAUAGAGGAGGUGUGGAAACAGAUUUCGUAGGAAUGUGGAAACGCCAUUACGCCAGUAAUAAUUUCCAGAUGCGUUCAAUCCAGCGGUCCAAGUCGACGGGGACGAAAGCAGACAGCUACAGCCGGGGGAGCUGCAAACACACACACACACACAUUCCUGAAGACCGAAGAGCGUUCCACUACGUGAAGAAAAGUCAGCAAACAAGUUAUGAUUUCGAGUGGGCUCGGAACAUGCGGCAAAUAAAAAGAGGAAAAGGGAAAAGACACAUGGAUGCCUUGCUUGGUGGGGUGAUAGAAUCAGUCCUUCCCUCCACUGGGAACUGGGACCAGUUCGAUUCAACAUCCAACUGUAAAGAAAAAGAGCACAGCACAGUACAGGAUCUUCCAUUCUCUUCACAGAACAUCUGCUAGCGUUGCUAACCUGGUACCUUAAACGUGCAGGUCCUAUCAUCUACUUACAUGUGGAGCAAGCUAUCAUUGUCGACGGCCCAUGAGAUGCUGCUAUGUCUUUCCUCUGUGUUUGUUAGUUGGAGUGUCAGAUGCUGCCUUGGCCUAAUGGUGACACGGAAGCGACUGCGCGACACCGUUCAAAUGGAGCUCUUCAGCCCGUCUCUCGAGCCGGUAAUCCAUGGCUCUCCAGGUCUUGCAGCUCGUUAGAUCUCCGCGGCGCUCCGUCUGCUUUGCGUUCAGAGGCAGUCAGUCCAGAAGGAAUAGGAAAGCUGUAUGUAAAGACUAAGGUGCAAUCAAUCAAAACAGACUUACUAGGACCAUGUUCGUCGUCAUCGCUAUCGCCAUUUUGAGAUGUGAAAAAUGGAGUGAGGUAGUUUCUGUCCAAUGCGGCCAAGGAGGGCGUGCUGCAACAACAGUCAAAACAGGUGGAUUCAAAUGCAUUGAAGAAUUCCUGUGGAAAAUCAUGUGCCUAAACUUGGUGUCAUUAAAAAACCUUGUGCAGCCUAUUAAAAAACUUUCAGUGCUCCUGCAGCCAUGAAAAGCAUGUGCUAUCCUUUGAUUUAGCAAAAUUUUAACUGCUGGCUUACUUUUUCUGGAUUUCUUGGAGUUUCAGUUUGAAUUUGCUUGUGGUAGAAGUCCCCUCUUCAUUGCCCAGUUCUAUGUUGCCCGCAUUAUUGUUCCCCUCAUAGUUCUCCUGGUCCUGCAAGUCAACAAUCAAUAAAACUAGUAAAAAUUUACAAAUCAUAAAGGAUGCUCAAGAGCUACCUACAAGCCUUUAUCAGUAGAAGAAAGAAUACACCAGUAACCCAUGAAGAUCCCAUACCUAUCACAUGUAUGCAUAUACGGGCCACAACAAGGCUGCAUUAUCCCAUGAGGCCAUGACAGAACCAGUGACAACCACAACCAUAAGAAGUUUUUUGGAAAGUUUCUAACGAAACCUCUAUGUUAUGAGCAUAGAGCCUACCAGAGCAUAGUUUACGCUGCCGCGGUGAAAGCUAUACUGAACAACAACGCAAUCGUGCCCAAUUUUCCCAGGGGAAAAUGCAAAAGCUUUGCGUUGAUAGAUAAGAAGUUUAAUUACAAGCCUGGAUUGUGAUUUGUAACCAUGCCAUCGUAUAGGAAGAAAUGUAGGAUAUAGCUUAGUUAUUUUUAUGAGGUGCAUAUUACUUGCCUCAAGUGAAGGGCGACGACCAUCAUUACCAUCUCCCACAACAUGUAGAGCUUCAAGCAUUGUGCUUGUUGAGCCUCCAAUCAGAAGUACCUGGAUUAUCGCCAUGCGAGAAAUUAUUCGGGAUGGUCUACACUCGGUACUAGCAGUAGUAGCAAUACCAGCAUGUCUUCCUAUUGCCAUAGCAGUUCUUUCACUAAUGACAUCUCUAGUGUAGUUUGAUUGUUUGAUAUCUUACUGUUAGAACAACAAUAGAUAUGGUGGCACUCAAAAUUGUCUGUCCAUGGCCAUCAGGAAGAUCAUGAACAGAUUGAAGAGCAAGGGCAAAAGCCAUAGCCCCUCUAAGACCUGCACAAGUAAAUGCACAAAAACUUUGAUAGAACUGCUUAAUAUGCCAAAAAUUAUACUGAGCAAGCAUGCUUGUCAGACUACAUACCACUAUACCAAAGUGCCUGUUGAUAUUGCCUGGAUAUUUGCCGCUGAGGUGGCCGUACCAUAUUUACCAAGAAAGCACACGAGAAAACAUUUGCAGCCCUUCAAAAUAAGAGGACACGGCAAAAACAAGCAACUUGAGCAAACUCAUAUACACGAAUAAUGUGCAGUUACCCAGUUCAGUUAAGAAAUUUAGAGCCUGCCCCGCAAAUGCUUCAGCUUGAGCAUCGAUCUAUUGUAUACCAAACACGAUGCCAUUUUUAUAAUGCUUGUGUGGUUCUGUCAGAUCUUAUUAAGUCUGUCGUAUCGGGAGGUUGGUGUUCAGUUGUUGACAGCUUAUUGGCAGACAUACAAACGAACCCUCCAACCUCACCAAACGAACCUUAUGAAACAGCAACAAUGGAAUUUGAACAAGGCCGAAUGAAAGCAUACCUUGCAACUAAUAUGAAGAUCUUCAUGAAACGAACGAAGUAAAUGCUAAGGAAAAGGAAAAAUAGCAGUGUAUCUCAUAAGAAGGAAUUAUGCACAGUAUAAAGUAGCUCCCAGUCAAAGUGAAGGAUACAACUGAGAAAAAUAUGAACCCAAUGUGUGACCAGCUUUGACGCUCCAUCGCAAUAUCAAAUCCCAUAUAUAUGAAUCUGUAGGGAGAUUAGACAAGUUUGUAUGUAAAUUUACCAAAAACAGAAAGCUUUUAAGUGUUGACUUACACAAAAGUUUCUGCUAAUGAUGAAAGCAGAUGGAAAAGUGCAGCAGUGAAACGCUGGGAGUCUUCUGACAAGUUCGAGAAUGUGUAUCUCUUCAUCACCUAAAAAGAAAAGUUCCACUAUCAAGUACAUAACUGCAGGCAGAAAUAAUAAUCCCUGACUGCCUCAUUUAAGUUGAACCUACGAUUCCAGUAAAGAGUAUUGAGACUAUGCCAGACAGACCGAAGCCUUCAGCUAGCAUGUACCUGCAAAUGAAUUUACAAUUGAAUCUAGAAGCCUCAAAGCCUGAGAAAAAGUAAUUCAAGUAAGGUGUGCUCACGAGAAGUAUGGGAAAAGUACAAACAAGCAGCUCUCGAGGUUAUAAAGGCUGAAAAAAAAGGAGUUGCUUAUUAUAUCCAGGUAAACUUUGUUUCCCCCCAAAAAAAUUGAUCAGGGAUGUUACUUACUUCUCAACACCGAGUGUUGAAUACUUGAAGAGGUUUUACAGAAUUAAGGACUAACAGAUGGUUAUCAGCAUGCCAAAAUAAUGCAGAAUACAACCUAACGGCAUGCUAACACAAGAUCAGUUUUACCGAAAAAGGGUUUCCCCCCGCUUUAUAAAUAAAGCAACUUCCACCAAUCACACGGUAACUGCUGGGGCGCACAGCACAUCAAGCCCAAAAGAGAAAGAAGAAGAACAAAAUGCCAACAACGGCAACUCGGCAAAGCUAAGAUGAUCCGCCUCCGCUGCGCCCUCCGGAUUCGUCCCACCACACACCAAGGCUCCGAAUUGCCGCGUAACCAAGCAGCACCUCCAAGAAGGGGUGCGACGUCGACGACGCUGCUGCCCGGACAUGUCCUACGGUUUCCCCCGGCACGCGGAGAGGAGUGGAGGAUGGGUAACACCUACGCCCCUCAGGAAGGAAAGGCGACGCCCGCAGGCGACACCGCGUCGGCGCCGAAAGAACCGGCAGGGAUUUCUCCCGCAUCCCAACCACCACUAUCCGUCCGAUCCGGAGCCAACCAGCCAGCCAACCACCAACCAGCAUACGCCACCACGGUCUUGAAGUCAUCCAUGCCGCCUCAUUGAGACCGCCAUCACGAGGCCUAGAGGAUGGAGAGAGGAGCGCCAGAAAUCGGGAGGGGGAGCACCGGAGCCGCGCCGGAGGGAACCACCUCCACCACCAUUGUGCGGGAGGCCUGUGCCUCCAGCACCGUCGCGGGUGCCGACCGGACGUGGCCGCAGUGGCACACCAGGCCACCCCAGGCCCGGCCAGGCCCAUCUCGGGCCCGCAAAGCCGCUGCCGCCCCGCUGCAGCAAGCCGGCGACAGUGCCGCCCCCACCCAGCCUUCCUACGCCCGAACUGCACCUCCAGGGGGCUCCGCCGUCGAUGAGAAGCCGCCGGCCCGCCGCGGCCCAGAUGGGCCCGAAGGGGCCCAGAUCUGGGCCGAGCAGGCGCCGCCACCCCCCACCAUCGCGAGCUCCGCCGCCAACGGCAGCGCCGCCGCGCAGCCAGCCUCCCACGCCUGCGCCAGGUUGCCCCGCCGCCGCGCCGGACCGCCGCCGCCUGAGCACACCACCAGGAAACGCGCCGCCCCGCGCAGGUCGCCUCCGGGAGGGAAAAAGCAGGGGCCGCCGCCACCGGCGCCGCCCGGGGCAAGCCCGGCACCGCACGCCGGCGGCGGCGGGGGGGAAGGUGGCGGGGGAAGGCCUCUGGAGAAGGGGGACGGAAGCGCGGCCGGCCGCCCGCGGGGAGGCGGCGCGGUCGCGAGAGAGGAAAGGGGGGAUCCCUAAGUUUCCCAAUUUACCCGCUUUAUGCCCGAGUGCUACUGAUCAGGAACCAAUGUUCCACACUGUUCUGAGAUGACAAGAUCAGUUUUUAUUUAAUCCAGAUAUGAAAAGAACACAUCUAGGUUUAAUUUUUCCACCAAAAGCAUGUAAGCAGUGUCCUCAUAUUCAAGCAGAGCAACAAACCAAUAUUGUGUGAUCAAUGCUUCAGAAAGCAUUACCAAAAAAAACAUCACAUAUAAAUUGCAGCUUUCAGUGGGAGAAAACCAUUAAAGCUCUGCUAAUGAUGCAAAAAGUAGGGUGAAGGAAGGAUAUGAGAGCAGAAAUAAAUCCAGCUCCAGCACCUGCAAAGAUAAAAGUAGCUAGAAAGUCAGUUCUCUACUGCCAUGCAAUUUGCACUCAUAUGCAUAAGCAUAAAAUAAAACCAGGGGAGAUAAACCACAGUGACAUCAAAACUGUAGGCAGGAAAUCUGUAGCAAAUGACCAUAUGAAUACAUUGUUUGUCACCAUACCUGUUGACAUUGACCCAAAGAAGUUCUCGAGAAACCUUAAGAUAACUACGAAAAUGUUUUGGCUAGAAGCAUUCGUCCUCAGAGAUGCCAUAGUCCUGAAGAUGAAGGGAGUCAAGGCGGAUCCGGAAGAAGCAAAUGAAUGAACCAAAGGAGAUCACAAAUACUGCGCUGACCUGUACAAGGAGAUUGCCAUCUUCAUCGCCACAAAACAGAUUGAUAUCAAGCAAGGUGUAAGUAUCAGUAAGAGUAAUAAUACUAACAAUUUUACGUAAACAGAAAUCAUACAGCAUCAUUUAGCACAGAUUCACCGAAAACCAGCGCAUAGAGGUUCACGUCCGUGCCAAGUUCCUGCAGUUAAAUGAAAAGUAAGUAAUCAUUGCUUCUAGGAUACCAGUAAACACAGUGUACUAGUACCUAAGUUGGUGACAGAAACCUGAAAUAUCGACAGCACAGUUACAGGAUCAGUUGCUGACACAAGGGCACCAAACAUCAUACACUCAACCAGAGGCAUCCUAUAGACAAGAUGUAUUAACCCAGCAAGAUAGCUGCAAUGACAGCGCAUCAUCAGAUGUUCACAGGUCAAAGGGUUGGCAUACAAUAUGAAUGCAAGCAAAGUAGUCUAGACUCUUACACUAAAACACCGGUGACAAUGGAGGCAAUUAAGGUUCCAACGAUUGCAAAAGUAAUAAUAGCACCAAAGUUUGAGAAGAAUGGUUUCUGCAAUCACAGAGAUAGUAUAUUUUAGCUGCAGCUAGACAGAAUCUCGAAAAAUAGGGGCAUGGGAAAUGCAGCACUUACUGGUGCUAAGCUGAAGCCGGACUGGGUAGCAUGCAGUCAAGCAAAACAUUUUGCGUGAGAUUUACAAAAGACAUAGCGGGAAGUAUAAUGAAGCAUUUUUGGAAAAGGGAGGUAAAAUGAAACAUAUGCCAAGGAUAUAAUAUGAUAGGAGGCAGCAAGAACAGAAAGAAGAGCUCCUCCCGGAAAUUGAACCAUCUCCUGAAAUUACAAAGAAAAGGAUAUCAUAUCAGCAUGGUAAACAAGGAACAUAUUGAGACGCUUAGGUUCUUGGGAAGAAGGCAGUAUAUACCUUGUACUUUUCUGGGCGUUAGAUACGCUAGCAAGACCUCCCACGAUCAACCCUGCCAUAAGUGGAUGGUAGGUUAUCAUAGAGUCACAAUAGAAGAGAUUUAUCUAAUUCCUGGACCAAGUAUAACUAAAACUGUAACUUGCAGACGUCCUCAUCUUUUUGCAGACCAGCAGCAAAAUCACAAGAGGGAUCAGCAACCAAAAUUAUGAAACCAUUGGGUCUUGCAGGUAUACACUGAUAAAAAUGCCCAAAUGCUCACAUAUGCAAAACGGAUAUAACCAGUUGAUACUGCAGGUAUGUUAUGAAACUUCAUUCCCAUCAUUAUUUAUAACCUCAGGACUCAGGUUUCAGCGUAAUAAAGAAACAAUUUCGAAAUGAGUAGGAGUUUCAUAUCCAGGGGAGAUCACCCCCCCCCCCCAAACCCCCUAUUCAAUUAGAGCAUGAAACAAUGUUCCCAAAGUGCUGACAAAAUUCAUUGAUGAAGAUACUUCAUUAUUGCAAACCUUGCAAAACCUCAUACUCAAAAUUGUCUCUCUUGUCGGGAACAAAGAAAGAAAAGCACUCAGUUAUGAACAAUGUAUCCAUUUGCUACGGUGCUGCUUGACUUUUUUUAUCCUCGAUAACAGGGGGAUAAAUUAGUAUGAAAUUUAAUAUAACAUUAUGUGAACUACAUCGAUGAAUUUGUUCAGAAUUUUUUGAAACAUUUAAUCCUGAAUUUGUAUGCGAUUUUCUCAAAAAGGUGGGAAGUUGCGCUGGACAUGAAGCAGUUUUCCAUGCCAAAAUAGACCAUACAUUAUGGCCCUUGAGAUGAAGGGUGGAGCCACAACAUGGGCAUGAUGCGACAUGAAGAAAGCGCAGCUCCUAUUUUGCUACAGUAUUUAAAGGCAUGAGAACAUCAGCACAGAUACACAACAAAAAAAUAUGUACAAAAAGGAAAAGGAAUGAAGCAUUCGUUUUACGUAGAGCCUUCGUGAUCAGUUGCCUGACCAGUUGUUUCAUGCUUCUGUAACUAAUUUUCUGAAGCAGAUUAAACUGAGUACAACACACCACAGUUCAGCAACUGCAAGCUAAGCCUUCGUGAUCUAAAGCAAGCCCACAAUCAAAUGGUCAGACAUGGCCAGAUUCAUCUAUAAAUAGGCCACUGUGUUCUUGAUUCAUGAAUCUGUAAUUUUUGGAGUUGGACUGAGAAUUUUUUUAGUUCGCGCAGCAACAGAUUCAGCAGUUGACUAUUGUUACAGGCUUCAUCGUGCUAUCCGCCAAUCAUCAUUCGAAGUUCAACAUCAUUUAACCAGCAUUUGAUCGCCCAAACCCCAACAAAGUAAACCCGCUACUGUAGAACUGCCUCCCGUUUUCGCGGCCAACCGACACGUGUCACGAAACCGCAGUAACCCCGGAGAGGCCACAUCAAUCAAACAGCCCAGAAUCUUCAAAAUGGCGCGGGCGCCGGACGUACAGCAGACGUACCGAUGAGGAGCGACGCGCUGGCCUCGGGGAGGUAGUAGACCCUGCGGCGGCGGAGGAGGUGGCUGAGCACGAACGCCAGCACCAGCAUCGAUAUCUGCAGCAGGAUCCCCACCCCCGCCGCCUCCUCCUGCUCCUCCACCGUCGGCGCCCCCUGCGGCGGCGCCCCCGCCGCCAUCCCUCCCUCCCCCUCUCCCUCGCAAGCUCUCGCGGGUGCGAAUGCUUCCUUGGCUUCGGCGCCUCGUUUGAUUCCCGAUGAUUCCCUUUACGGGAUAUUUGUCGCUGUUUUCCUUUCGAAAGUUCUGUUUCCGCCUCUGAAAUUGUCUUCGGGGUUCCUCUCGUGCUCGUUCCUCUCUGCGUGGACGGCUGGGAUGCGUUUGACUGUACCUGACGGCUGGGAUGCGGCUGGGACUGGGGGAGCUUGCCACGUCUCCGUGGACAUUUGCACGGAGGAAGCAUGAAAGAACAUUGAGUUGAGUUUUACUUAGAACAUCUUCAACAACCGUCCAACGCGUCGCGCGCUAAAAAUCACUUUUCCGCGUAUUCUUUGGAUGGAUUUGCGUGACCGACAGCGCUGGCUCCAACAGCCGCAUUAAAAUGCAGCGCACGCGACUCGCCGGCGCAUCCAUAUGUUGCAUUUUGGACACAAAAUAGAUUUCAAACAUUCAAAAUGCAAUGAACAUGACAUAUAAAUUUCACACAAACAGAUGAAUAAAAGUUCAUGCCCAUAAGUUCAUCCAACCAAAUUCAAAAUGCAAACCAAGUUCACCACACAAACGAAAGACACAUCAAGCCUCGUCCUCGUCUUCGUCCUCAUCUUCGAAAGACGAUUCUUCCUUCUCCGAAGAUGAUUCUUUCUCCUUCUCCUCAUCAUUGUCGCGCACCGCAUAACGUGAAGCUCGGACGAUGUUGGCAAGAUCUUCAACGACAUCUUCAUGAGAAGGUGUGUGAGGCACACCGAAAGACAUUUCGCCCAUGGCGGCCGGAGGUGCACCCAUGCCCCCUAUGAGAGAAGCAAAACUCAUGCCUCCCAUGGCGGCCAUGGCGUCGGGCGGUGCUCCAAAGCCACACAUGGCUCCCAUGGUCUCCAUGGUAGCUUCAAAGCCACCCAUGACAGUUAAGCCGCCCACGGUAGCUCCGAAGCCACCCAUGGCACCAAGGCCACCGCCACCCAUUGCGCGAAUCGUAGCUCUCUUUUGAUCAAGACUUUUUCACGGGGAAGAUUGACAUACUUCUUUUACAUCUCAUUGAGGAUAGAUGUGUCCAAGAAGAACAAGUGCUUCUCCCAUUUCAACAAUCUAGUUCGCUCAUCAUUGCUCACCUUCCUCUCCUCCAAAGCCACCUUCCUCUCCUCGGUAGCCACCCUCCUCUCCUCGGCCGCCAACCUCCUCUCCUCAGCCGCGGCAUCUUGGUUCAUUGCCAUUUUCCUCACCUCGUUGGCUUCUUUUCUUGCCUUCACAAUAGCUUCCAUAGCAUUUUUGAGCUCAUCAUCUCCUUUCAUCUUCUUUUUUUUUGCGUCUUUCUUGCACCCAUCCGGUCGUUUUGGCUUCGAGUAUGAAACCGAGUUGGGUGUGGGGCUUCUCUUGCCGUCACUUGAUGCAUCCUCCUCCUCCUCCUCAUCAUCAUCAUUCAACUCAAUUGUUCGCUUGCGUUUGUUGUUCAAAUCCAAAUCAUCAUGCUUCUUCCAUUUCUCAUCAUCCUUCAACACUUCAUAGCAAUGAGGCAAGGUAAAUAUCCUUCCUUUCUUGAUCUUCCCCUUCUUGGUUCUCUUUUCCUCUCCUUUGAACAAGUUUUGUGCAAUGUUGUACUACAUGAAAACAAAGCAAGCUAGCACUUCAAACACCAACAACAAGUAUGAUGAACAUGGAUGAAAUGCCACUUACUCUAUCGUCCUCAUUGGUGCCACUUGGGUUCAACUUGUCAACCGCCUUUUGUGCGACCGCCCACUUUUGACAAUCCUUGUUGAUUGUCGACCACCGGGACCAAAGUGAUCGCUCGGAGCGGUCAAUUCCACGUUGCGAACAUCAAAGUGUCCUUUCAUCCGCCCCCAAUAAGCAUCUCUACUUUGAUCACCUUCAACGGAUGGAUCCCUCGACACUUCCAACCAAGUAUCGCAUAGUAAGAUGUCUUCAGCAUUGGUGUAAUUGCCCGCUCUUCCUUUCGGCGCGUCGACAAUGCCCUCACCAUCCUCUUCCACCUCGAACUCAUGGUCUUCAAAAUGCAUGCCAUUGGUUUGAGACCAAUGCGAAUUGUUGGAGCCAACACCCAUAGUUGACAUGUAUGCAUCAUCGUUGAUACUACAAAAUAUAUAGAACAAUGCAAAUAAGCUAUCUAUAUGAAUGCAUUCAAAAAAUAACAAGGAAAGAAAAGUUGGAAAAAAUGUCUACCUUUGGGGCAUAUCGUCGAACACGUUGUGCGCGUCGGCCGCCGGCUCAACGAGUGAGCUCGCCGGCGCUUCGGUAGCCGCCGCGCCCGUCACAUGCCCUGCAAGCUUCUUCCUCCUCGCCUUCGAGGUGCCAAAGCCGUCCGCCACCUUGUUCUUCUUCACGGAUGUCUUGCCCUUNNNNNNNNNNNNNNNNNNNNNNNNNNNNNNNNNNNNNNNNNNNNNNNNNNNNNNNNNNNNNNNNNNNNNNNNNNNNNNNNNNNNNNNNNNNNNNNNNNNNNNNNNNNNNNNNNNNNNNNNNNNNNNNNNNNNNNNNNNNNNNNNNNNNNNNNNNNNNNNNNNNNNNNNNNNNNNNNNNNNNNNNNNNNNNNNNNNNNNNNNNNNNNNNNNNNNNNNNNNNGCGGCGCCGUCGCGACGCCACCCGCCGCCGAGGUCAUCCGCGGCGGCAUGAAGAGGCCGCGCGCGAGGCCGAUGCUCGGAGGAGCUCCGGCAGAGGCGAGGCUGAUACGUCUCCGUCGUAUCUACUUUUCCAAACAAUUUUGCCCUUGUUUUGGAUUCUAGCUUGCAUGAUUUGAAUGGAACUAACCCGGACUGACGCUAUUUUUAGCAGAAUUACCAUGGUGUUAUUUAUGUGCAGAAACAAACGUUCUCAGAAUGACCUGAAAUUUCAUGGAGCGACUUUUCAGAAAAUAUGAAAAAUACCUGCAAAAGAUGAAGGCCAGGGGCCCACCACCUCUCCACGAGGGUGGGGGCGCGCCUUGUUGGGGAACGUAGCAGAAUUUUAAAAUUUUCUACGCAUCACCAAGAUCAAUCUAUGGAGUCAUCUAGCAACGAGGGAGAGGGGAGUGCAUCUACAUACCCUUGUAGAUCGCGAGCGGAAGCGUUCAAGAGAACGGGGUUGAUGGAGUCGUACUCGUCGUGAUCCAAAUCACCGAUGACCUAGCAUCGAACAGACGGCACCUCCGCGUUCAACACACGUACGGUUGGGAAGACGUCUCCUCCUUCUUGAUCCAGCAAGGGGAAGGAGAGAUUGAUGGAGAUCCAGCAGCACGACGGCGUGGUGGUGGAAGCAACAGUGAUUUUGGCAGGGCUUCGCCAAGCUCCAACGAGAGAGAGAGAGGUGUUAUGUGGGGAGAGGGAGGCGCCAGAGACUUGGUGCGGCUGCCCUCCCUCCCCCCACUAUAUAUAGGGCCCCUAGGGGGGCGUUGGCCCUAGAGAUUGGAUCUCAAGGGGGGCGGCGGCCAAGGGGGGGUGGCUUGCCCCCCAAGCCAAGUGGGGCGCCCCCACCCCUAGGGUUUCCAACCCUAGGCGCAGGGGGGGGCCCAAGGGGGGCGCACCAGCCCAAUAGGGGCUGGUUCCCUUCCCCACUUCAGCCCAUGGGGCCCUCCGGGAUAGGUGGCCCCACCCGGUGGACCCCCGGGACCCUUCCGGUGGUCCUGGUACAAUACCGAUUACCCCCGAAACCUUCCCGAUGGCCGAAAUUUGACUUCCUAUAUAUAGAUCUUCACCUUUGGACCAUUCCGGAACUCCUCGUGACGUCCGGGAUCUCAUUCGGGACUCCGAACAACUUUCAGGUUACCGCAUACUAGUAUCUCUACAACCCUAGCAUCAUCGAACCUUAAGUGUGUAGACCCUACGGGUUCGGGAGAUAUGCAGACAUGAUCGAGACGACUCUCCGGUCAAUAACCAACAGUGGGAUCUGGAUACCCAUGUUGGCUCCCACAUGUUCCACGAUAAACUCAUCGGAUGAACCACGAUGUCGAGGAUUCAAUCAAUCCCAUAUACAAUUCCCUUUGUCAAUCGGUACGUUACUUGCCCGAGACUCAAUCGUCGGUAUCACAAUACCUCGUUCAAUCUUGUUACCGGCAAGUCACUUUACUCAUACCGUAAUGCAUGAUCCCGUGACCAAACACUUGGUCACAUUGAGCUCAUUAUGAUGAUGCAUUACCGAGUGGGCCUAGAGAUACCUCUCCGUCAUACGGAGUGACAAAUUCCAUUCUCGAUCCGUGUCAACCCAACAGAUACUUUCGGGGAUACCUGUAGUAUACCUUUAUAGUCACCCAGUUACGUUGUGACGUUUGGUACACCCAAAGCACUCCUACGGCAUCCGAGAGUUACACGAUCUCAUGGUCUAAGGAAAUGAUACUUGACACUGGAAAAGCUCUAGCAAACGAACUACACGAUCUUGUGCUAUGCUUAGGAUUGGGUCUUGUCCAUCACAUCAUUCUCCUAAUGAUGUGAUCCCGUUAUCAAUGACAUCCAACGUCCAUAGUCAGGAAACCGUGACUAUUUAUUGAUCAACGAGCUAGUUAACUAGAGGCUUACUAGGGACAUGUUAUGGUCUAUGUAUUCACACAUGCAUUAUGAUUUCCGGAUAACACAACUAUAGCAUGAACAAUAGACAAUUAUCAUGAACAAGGAAAUAUAAUAAUAAUCAUUUUAUUAUUGCCUCUAGGGCAUAUUUCCAACAGUCUCCCACUUGCACUAGAGUCAAUAAUCUAGUUACAUUGUGAUGAAUCGAACACCCAUAGAGUUCUGGUGUUGAUCAUGUUUUGCUCGAGGAAGAGGUUUAGUCAACAGAUCUGCGACAUUCAGGUCCGUAUGCACUUUGCAAAUAUCUAUGUCUCCAUUUUGAACAUUUUCACGAAUGGAGUUGAAGCGACGCUUGAUAUGCCUGGUCUUCCUGUGAAAUCUGGGCUCCUUGGCAAGGGCAAUAGCUCCAAUGUUGUCACAAAAGCGAGUCAUCGGGCCCGACGCAUUGGGAAUAACUCCUAGGUCGGUAAUGAACUCCUUCACCCAGAUUGCUUCUUGUGCUGCCUCCGAGGCUGCCAUGUACUCCGCUUCACAUGUAGAUCCCGCCACGACACUUUGCUUGCAACUGCACCAGCUGAUUGCCCCACCAUUCAAAAGAUACACGUAUCCGGUUUGUGACUUAGAGUCAUCCAGAUCUGUGUCGAAGCUAGCAUCGAUGUAACCCUUUACGACGAGUUCUUCGUCACCUCCAUACACGAGAAACAUAUCCUUAGUCCUUUUCAAAUACUUCAGGAUAUUCUUGACCGCUAUCCAGUGUUCCAUGCCGGGAUUACUUUGGUACCUUCCUACUAAACUUACGAUAAGGUUUACAUCAGGUCUGGUACACAGCAUGGCAUACAUGAUAGACCCUAUGGCCGAGGCAUAGGGGACGACACUCAUCUUUUCUCUAUCUGCUGCCGUGGUCGGGCAUUGAGUUGUGCUCAAUCUCACACCUUGCAAUACAGGCAAUAACCCCUUCUUGGACUGAUCCAUAUUGAACUUCUUCAAUAUCUUGUCAAGGUAUGUACUUUGUGAAAGACCAAUGAGGCGUCUCGAUCUAUCUCUAUAGAUCUUGAUGCCUAAUAUAUAAGCAGAUUCUCCAAGGUCCUUCAUUGAAAAACACUUGUUCAAGUAGGCCUUUAUGCUUUCCAAGAAUUCUAUAUCAUUUCCCAUCAAUAGUAUGUCAUCCACAUACAAUAUGAGAAAUGCUACGGAGCUCCCACUCACUUUCUUGUAAACGCAGGCUUCUCCAUAAGUCUGUGUAAACCCAAACACUUUGAUCAUCUCAUCAAAAUGAAUGUUCCAACUCUGAGAUGCUUGCACCAGCCCAUAGAUUGAGCGUUGGAGCUUGCACACCUUGUCAGCGUUCUUAGGAUCGACAAAACCUUCCGGCUGCAACAUAUACAAUUCUUCCUUAAUGAAACCAUUAAGGAAUGUCGUUUUGACGUCCAUUUGCCAUAUCUCAUAAUCAUAGAAUGCGGCAAUUGCUAACAUGAUUCGGACGAACUUCAGCUUCGCUACGGGUGAGAAAGUCUCAUCGUAGUCAACCCCUUGAACUUGUCGAUUACCUUUAGCGACAAGCCGAGCUUUAUAGAUGGUCACAUUACCAUCCGCGUCUGUCUUCUUCUUAAAGAUCCAUUUAUUUUCUAUGGCUCGCCGAUCAACAGGCAAGUCAGUCAAAGUCCAUACUUCGUUUUCAUACAUGGAUCCUAUCUCGGAUUUCAUGGCUUCCAGCCAUUUGUCGGAAUCUGGGCCCGCCAUCGCUUCUUCAUAGUUCGAAGGUUCACCAUUGUCCAACAACAUGAUUUCCAGGACAGGGUUGCCGUACCACUCUGGUGCGGAACGCGUCCUUGUGGACCUUCGAAGUUCAGUAGCAGCUUGAUCUGAAGUUUCAUGAUCAUCAUCAUUAACUUCCUCCCUAGUCGGUGCAGACACCUCAGGAACAAUUUCUUGAGCUGCGCCACUCUCCGGUUCAAGAGGCAAUACUUCAUCAAGUUCUACUUUCCUCCCACUUACUUCUUUCGAGAGAAACUCUUUCUCUAGAAAGGAUCCAUUCUUGGCAACAAAUGUCUUGCCUUCGGAUCUAAGAUAGAAGGUAUACCCAAUAGUUUCUUUAGGGUAUCCUAUGAAGACGCAUUUUUCCGAUUUGGGUUCGAGCUUUUCAGGUUGAAGUUUCUUGACAUUAGCAUCGCAUCCCCAAACUUUCAGAAACGACAGCUUAGGUUUCUUGCCAAACCACAAUUCAUACGGUGUCGUCUCAACGGAUUUCGACGGAGCCCUAUUUAAAGUGAAUGCGGUAGUCUCUAUAGCAUAACCCCAAAAAGAUAGCGGUAGAUCGGUAAGAGACAACAUAGAUCGUACCAUAUCCAAUAGGGUGCGAUUACGACGUUCGGACACACCAUUACGCUAUGGUGUUCCAGGCGGCGUGAGUUGUGAAACUAUUCCACAUUUCCUUAAGUGCGUGCCAAAUUCGUGACUCAAAUAUUCUCCCCCGUGAUCUGAUCGUAAGAACUUGAUUUUCCUGUCACGUUGAUUCUCAACCUCACUUUGAAAUUCCUUGAACUUUUCAAAGGCCUCAGACUUGUGUUUCAUUAAGUAUACAUACCCAUAUCUGCUUAAGUUAUCAGUGAGGGUGAGGACAUAACGAUAGCCACCGCGAGCCUCAACGCUCAUUGGACCGCACACAUCAGUAUGUAUGAUUUCCAAUAAGGUUGUUGCUUGCUCCAUUGUUCCGGAGAAUGGAGUCUUGGUCAUUUUACCCAUGAGGCAUGGUUCGCACGUGUCAAAUGAUUCAUAAUCAAGAGACUCCAAAAGUCCAUCUGCAUGGAGUUUCUUCAUGCGUUUGACACCAAUGUGACCAAGGCGGCAGUGCCACAAGUAUGUGGGACUAUCAUUAUCAACCUUACAUCUUUUGGCAUUCACACUAUGAAUGUGUGUAACAUCACGUUCGAGAUCAAAUAAGAAUAAACCAUUGACCAUCGGGGCAUGACCAUAAAACAUGUCUCUCAUAUAAAUAUAACAACCAUUAUUCUCAGAUUUAAAUGAGUAGCCAUCUCGCAUUAAACGAGAUCCAAAUACAAUGUUCAUGCUCAAAGCUGGUACUAAAUAACAAUUAUUGAGGUUUAAAACUAAUCCCGUAGGAAAAUGCAGAGGUAGCGUGCCGACGGUGAUCACAUCGACCUUGGAACCAUUCCCGACGUGCAUCAUCACCUCGUCCUUCGCCAGUCUCUGUUUAUUCCGCAGUUCUUGUUUUGAGUUACAAAUAUGAGAAACUGCACUGGUAUCAAAUACCCAGGAGCUACUACGAGCGCUGGUAAGGUACACAUCAAUAACAUGUAUAUCACAUAUACCUUUGGUAUUGCCGGCCUUCUUUUCCGCUAAGUACUUGGGGCAAUUCCGCUUCCAGUGACCGUUUCCCUUGCAAUAAAAGCACUCAGUCUCAGGCUUGGGUCCAUUCUUUGACUUCUUCCCGGCAGCUUGCUUACCGGGCGCGGCAACUCCCUUGCCGUCCUUCUUGAAGUUCUUUUUACCCUUGCCUUUCUUGAACUUAGUGGUUUUAUUCACCAUCAACACUUGAUGUUCCUUUUUGAUUUCCACCUUCGCUGAUUUCAGCAUUGAAUAUACCUCGGGAAUGGUCUUUUCCAUCCCCUGCAUAUUGAAGUUCAUCACAAAGCUCUUGUAGCUAGGUGGCAGCGACUGAAGGAUUCUAUCAACGACUGCAUCAUCCGGGAGAUUAACUCCUAGCUGAGACAAGCGGUUAUGCAACCCAGACAUUUUGAGUAUGUGCUCGCUGACAGAACUGUUCUCCUCCAUCUUACAACUGUAGAACUUGUCGGAGACUUCAUAUCUCUCGACCCGGGCAUGAGCUUGGAAAACCAUUUUCAGCUCUUGGAACAUCUCAUAUGCUCCGUGUUGCUCAAAACGUUUUUGGAGCCCCGGUUCUAAGCUGUAAAGCAUGCCGCACUGAACCAAGGAGUAAUCAUCACUACGUGUCUGCCAAGCGUUCAUAACAUCUUGUUCUGCAGGGAAAACAGGUUCUUCACCUAGCGGUGCAUCAAGGACAUAUGCUUUCCUGGCAGCUAUGAGGAUAAUCCUCGGGUUACGGACCCAGUCCGUGUAGUUGCUGCCAUCGUCUUUCAGCUUGGUUUUCUCUAGGAACGCGUUGAAGUUGAGGGCAAUAUUAGCGUGGGCCAUUUGAUCUACAAGACAUAUUGCAAAGAUUUUAGACUAAGUUCAUGAUAACUAAGUUCAUCUAAUCAAAUUAUUUAAUGAACUCCCACUCAGAUAGACAUCCCUCUAGUCAUCUAAGUGAUACAUGAUCCGAUUCAACUAGGCCGUGUCCGAUCAUCACGUGAGACGGACUAGUCAUCAUCGGUGAACAUCUUCAUGUUGAUCGUAUCUUCUAUACGACUCAUGUUCGACCUUUCGGUCUUCCGUGUUCCAAGGCCAUGUCUGUACAUGCUAGGCUCGUCAAGUCAACCUAAGUGUAUUGCGUGUGUAAAUCUGGCUUACACCCGUUGUAUGCGAAUGUUAGAGCUUAUCACACCCGAUCAUCACGUGGUGCUUCAGAACAACAGACCUUAGCAACGGUGAACAGUUAGGGGGAACACUUUCUUAAAAUUAUUGUGAGGGAUCAUAUUAUUUACUACCGUCGUUCUAAGCAAAUAAGAAGCAAAAACAUGAUAAAUUUCACAUGCAAUCAAAUAGUGACAUGAUAUGGCCAAUAUCAUUUGCUAUCUCUAUCUUUGGGGCGCCAUGAUCAUCAUCGUCACCGGCAUGACACCAUGAUCUCCAUCAUCAUGAUCUCCAUCAUCGUGUCUUCAUGAAGUUAUCUCGUCAUCUAUUACUUCUACUACUAUGGCUAAUGGUUUAGCAAUAAAGUAAAGUAAUUACAUGACGUUUAUGUUGACACGCAGGUCACAAAUAAAUUAAGACAACUCCUAUGGCUCCUGCUGGUUGUCAUACUCAUCGACAUGCAAGUCGUGAUUCCUAUUACAAGAACAUGAUCAAUCUCAUACAUCACAUAUAUCAUUCAUCACAUCCUUUUGGCCAUAUCACAUCACAUGGCACAUGCUGCAAAAACAAGUUAGACGUCCUCUAAUUGUUUGUUGCAAGUUUUUUUAUGUGACUGCUAUAGGUUUCUAGCAAGAACGUUUCUUACCUACGCCAAAACCACAACGUGAUAUGCCAAUUUCUAUUUACCCUUCAUAAGGACCCUUUUCAUCGAAUCCGAUCCGACUAAAGUAGGAGAGAAAGACACCCGCUAGCCACCUUAUGCAACUAGUGCAUGUCAGUCGGUGGAACCAGUCUCACGUAAGCGUACGUGUAAGGUCGGUCCGGGCCGCUUCAUCCCACGAUGCCGCCGAAUCAAGAUAAGACUAGUAACGGCAAGUAAAUUGACAAAAUCAACGCCCACAACAACUUGUGUUCUACUCGUGUAUAGAAACUACGCAUAGACCUAGCUCAUGAUGCCACUGUUGGGGAACGUAGCAGAAUUUUAAAAUUUUCUACACAUCACCAAGAUCAAUCUAUGGAGUCAUCUAGCAACGAGAGAGAGGGGAGUGCAUCUACAUACCCUUGUAGAUCGCGAGCAGAAGCGUUCAAGAGAACGGGGUUGAUGGAGUCGUACUCGUCGUGAUCCAAAUCACCGAUGACCUAGCGCCGAACGGACGACACCUCCACGUUCAACACACGUACGGUUGGGAAGACGUCUCCUCCUUCUUGAUCCAGCAAGGGGAAGGAGAGGUUGAUGGAGAUCCAGCAGCACGACGGCGUGGUGGUGGAAGCAAUGGUGAUCUCGGCAGGGCUUCGCCAAGCUCCAACGAGAGAGAGAGAGUGAGAGAGAGAGAGAGGUGUUACGUGGGGAGAGGGAGACGCCAGAGACUUGGUGCGGCUGCCCUCCCUCCCCCAUUAUAUAUAGGGCCCCUAGGGGGGGCGCCGGCCCUAGAUAUUGGAUCUCAAGGGGGGGGGCGGCCAAGGGGGGAGGGGGUUGCUUGCCCCCCAAGCCAAGUGGGGCGCCCCCACCCCUAGGGUUUCCAACCCUAGGCGCAGGGGGAGGCCCAAGGGGGGUGCACCAGCCCAAUAGGGGCUGGUUCCCUUCCCCACUUCAGCCCAUGGGGCCCUCCGAGGUAGGUGGCCCCACCCGGUGGAUCCCCGGGACCCUUCCGGUGGUCCCGGUACAAUACCGAUUACCCCCGAAACCUUCCCGAUGGCCGAAACUUGACUUCCUAUAUAUAAAUAUUCACCUCCGGACCAUUCCGGAACUCCUCGUGAUGUCCAGGAUCUCAUCCGGGACUCCGAACAACUUUUGGGUUACCGCAUACUAGUAUCUCUACAACCCUAGCGUCACUGAACCUUAAGUGUGUAGACCCUACGGGUUCAGGAGACAUGCAGACAUGACCGAGACGACUCUCCGGUCAAUAACCAACAGCGGGAUCUGGAUACCCAUGUUGGCUCCCACAUGUUCCACGAUGAACUCAUCGGAUGAACCACGAUGUCGAGGAUUCAAUCAAUCCCGUAUAUAAUUCCCUUUGUCAAUCGGUACGUUACUUGCCCGAGAUUCGAUCAUCGGUAUCCCAAUACCUCGUUCAAUCUCGUUACCGGCAAGUCACAUUACUCGUAUCGUAAUGCAUGAUCCCGUGACCAAACACUUGGUCACAUUGAGCUCAUUAUGAUGAUGCAUUACCGAGUGGGCCUAGAGAUACCUCUCCGUCAUAUGGAGUGACAAAUUCUAGUCUCGAUCCGUGUCAACCCAACAGAUACUUUCGGGGAUACCUGUAGUAUACCUUUAUAGUCAUCCAGUUACGUUGUGACGUUUGGUACACCCAAAGCACUCCUACGACAUCCGGGAGUUACACGAUCUCAUGGUCUAAGGAAAUGAUACUUGACACUGGAAAAGCUCUAGCAAACGAACUACACGAUCUUGUUCUAUGCUUAGGAUUGGGUCUUGUCCAUCACAUCAUUCUCCUAAUGAUGUGAUCCCAUUAUCAAUGACAUCCAACGUCCAUAGUCAGGAAACCGUGACUAUCUAUUGAUCAACGAGCUAGUUAACUAGAGGCUUACUAGGGACAUGUUAUGGUCUAUGUAUUCACACAUGCAUUAUGAUUUCCGGAUAACACAAUUAUAGCAUGAACAAUAGACAAUUAUCAUGAACAAGGAAAUAAUAAUAAUCAUUUUAUUAUUGCCUCUAGGGCAUAUUUCCACACGCCUGCCCCCCUAGGCCGUGCCCCCUACCUCGUGGGCCUCCUGUUGCCUCUCCGACUCCAACUCCAACUCCAUAUAUUGUGUUUCGGGGAGAAAAAAUCAGAGAGAAGAAAUCAUCGCGUUUUACGAUACAGAGCCGCCGCCAAGCCCUAAAACCUCUCGGGAGGGCUGGUCUAGAGUCCAUUCGGGGCUCUGGAAAGGGGAAUCCGUCGCCAUCAUCAUCAUCAACCAUCCUCCAUCACCAAUUUCAUGAUGCUCACAGCCGUGCGUGAGUAAUUCCAUCGUAGGCUUGCUGGACGGUGAUGGGUUGGAUGGGAUCUAUCAUGUAAUCGAGUUAGUUUUGUUAGGGUUUGAUCCCUAGUAUCCACUAUGUUCUGAGAUUAAUGUUGCUAUGACUUUGCUAUGCUUAAUGCUUGUCACUAGGGCCUGAGUGCCAUGAUUUCAGAUCUGAACCUAUUAUGUUUUCAUCAAUAUAUGAGUGUUCUUGAUCCUAUCUUGCAAGUCUAUAGUCACCUAUUAUGUGUUAUGAUCCGUUAACCCCGAAGUGACAAUAAUCGGGAUACUUACCGGUGAUGACCGUAGUUUGAGGAGUUCAUGUAUUCACUAUGUGUUAAUGCUUUGUUCCGGUUCUCUAUUAAAAGGAGGCCUUAAUAUCCCUUAGUUUCUAUAAGUGCAUCUAGUGCCACCCCUAGUUGGUUUUGGAGUAUUGACGACAAACCUGGUUGAGGGACUAAUGUGUUUGUGAGAAUUGCAGGAUAACACAGGUAGAAGUCCCUCAUUGAUUCGGUUUUCCUACCAGAGAUGACCCCUAAAAAUGUAUGAAGACAUUAAAGUCAAAGGUGGUAUGUGAAGACAUUCACAUUGAAGUCUAUGACAAGAGAAGACAUCGCAUGAAGACUAUGGAGCGCGAAGACUUAGUUGUUUCGUCGUUCUUUUUCUUCUUUGUUGAGUCAUAGGAACCACCGUACUGUUAAGUGGGGUCCAAGAGAACCAGUCAGAAUAACUGAAGUGAUGCUUAACCAAAAGCCUAUGUCUUCGAGUGAAGACUACGAGAGCAAAUCUUGUCCAGAGUUGGAUAAGUCAGCUUUGCUUGUAGCCUAAGUAAAGUUGCCGUGUGUGUUUGAAAUCUGACCGUUGGAACAUGUGUCAGUUCCUUAGUGACCGAGGGUCAUUUCGGACAAAUCAGGUCGGGUUGCCUAGUGGCUAUAAAUAGCCCACCCCCUAUAACCAUAAAUGGUUGGCUGCUCAGAGUUAGUGCACGGCUUUUGUCGUUUGAGAGCAACCCACCUCGAAGCCUUUGAGAGAGAAUUCCUUGCGAGGAUAAAGCCCUAACCACCCAGAGCCAAAGAGAGUUAGGCAUCACUGAAGUCUUCCUGUCUGUGUGAUCUGAAGACUUAUUACACUUGAGGACUGUGAAUCCUCCAGCCGGUUAGGCGUCGCGUUCUGAGCAUCCAAGAGUCAUUGUGGAUCGCCAGUGAACGAAGUCUGUGAAGGUUUGGAAGUCUACCUUGAAGACUUACCAGAGUGAUUGGGCAAGGACUGGGUGUCCUUAGCUCAAGGGGAAUAAGGUGAAGACGCGGUCUUCUGAGUUGAAUCUCAGCCUCCCUAACCAGACGUACAGUUGUCACAACAACUGGAACUAGUCCAACAAAUCAUUGUCUUCAACGAGUCACUGGUUUCAUCCUUCCCACUCCUUUCCUUACUGUUGGCCCUGGUGAAGUCAUUGCCUGAUUGCAUUAUCUUUUGUCUUCAUUGAGUGACUGCUUGUUCUGAUUGGUUUCACAAUAUCUUCCUACCUGAUCUUUACCGCCUAGCUGCUAUUAGUCAUUGUGCUUUCACUUCAUUGAAUACUUGACUAUGGUUUGCCUAGUGUAGUCUACCUUCCGCUGCAUGGUAAUAGGUUUAUUUCUAUCGUUUGUCUUCGAAACUUCCAUGUUUUUAAGACUUUCAUAAAAAUCGCCUAUUCACCCCCCCUCUAGUCGAUCAUUAGCACUUUCAAUUGGUAUCAGAGCAAGGUACUCCCUUAUUCUAUGUGAUUCGGUUUAACCACCUGGAGUUUUAGCUAUGUCGACUGCAGGGAUAAUCAAAGUCUCCGCUGCGUGCCCAGUCUUCGAUGGAACUGAAUAUCCCUACUGGAAGAAUAAGAUGCGCAUGCAUCUUGAAGCCAUUGAUGUCGACCUAUGGUAUGUCAUUAAGAAUGGCGUUCCCAAGGCUGGUGAAGGUGUCACCGCUGCUGAUGUCAAGAAGUUCGUUCAACUGGACUCCACUACCAAGAACAUCAUCUGUGGUCAUCUAACCAAAGGACAAUAUGGCCGUGUGAGUGCUUUGGAAACAUCUAAGCUAGUCUGGGACUGGCUCUCCAAGGUCAACGAAGGCGUCUCAACCCAGAGAGAUCAGAGAAUCAGUGUCCUUCGCAACCUCUUCAACCGCUUCAAGAGAAAUGACAAUGAGAAUGUUCAGCUCAUGUUUGAUCGACUCACUGACAUCACAAAUGAGCUUCAAUCCCUCGACGCCACUGAGAUCACCAAGCAUGAAGUCGUCAAGACACUCCUGAGAUCACUUGACAGCUCGUUUGACACCCUAGCCCUGAUGAUUCAAGAACGUCCUGACUUCAAAACACUCGAUCCGCCUGACAUACUUGAGAGGCUCAACACACACGAGUUUCAGCUUUCUGAGAAAAGAGACAUCUACGGUCCCAACUAUGGGCGAACUCGUGCCUUGAAGGCAAAAGCUGUCUCCCCAUAUGAAGAAGAGUCUGACAACAGUUUUGAUGAUCCUGAAGACAUUGGAAAGGAGCUUGCUAUGCUUGUGAAGAAGUUCCAAAAAUUCACCAAGAAGAAAGGCUUCAGAAAGUCCUCACGAUCAAGCUCAAGGAAUGAUGAAGCUUCUGCUCAUGACUACACGAAGAGAACAUGCCACAAGUGCAAGAAACCUGGCCACUACAUCUCUGAGUGUCCAUAGUGGGACAAUGAGAACAAGAAGAAAAAGAAGAGCAAGGAGUAUGAUUCUGACGACAAGAAGUAGAAAUACUCAAAGUCUUCUUCCAAGUCCUCCUCAAAGUCUUCAUCACACAAGAAGAGAUCAUCUGGCAAGGCAUGUGCGUUUGUUGGCAAGGAAAAGGAUUCAGAGGAGGAGUCUGCUUCUGAGGAGGCGGAGGUGGAGUCUGAGGAGGAGUCCGAUUCUGGCGUUGCGAGUCUGGCUACAGCAUACGUUGCCAAGUCCAUCUUCAACUGAAGACAAUGACUCCGUCACUGAUACCGAUGCAAAUGACAAGGACUACUCCGCUCCUACCUACUGCUUCAUGGCACGCGGUGCCAAGGUAAACACACGCACUACUCACUAUCAAACUUCCAGUGAAGAUGACUCUGAUUGUGGUUCCAAACCCAGCUACAAAACACUUGCUAAAAUUGCAACUGAACAACAGAAAGCUAUGGAACAUAUUCAAAAACUGUUGGACAAAAGCGAUGACCUAUUAGACGCUGAAAUGACUCGAUCUCAGUCCUUAAUUGAAGACAUAAAAAAUCUUCACGUUAAGUAUGAGGAACUUGAAAGUCGUCAUGAAACGCUCUCAACAACUCAUGAAAAACUUUCCUAUGAUUAUCUUCAAAGGAAGCAAGAUCUUGAGAAAUUGAGAGCGGCUCAUGAAGAUCUUCAAAAGGAAAACGAGUCACUUCGCGUCAAACAGAUCAGUUCCGCCCAGGAAGGAUUUGAACCACCAUGUCUUAAAUGUAUUGAGCAUGACAACGCUACUUGUGUUGCUGGUUGUUCUACCGCUGCUACUAUUGCAAUAUCUUCAACUGUUGAUGUGCCAACUAACCCCUCUGCCGAGGAUGCCACUGCUAUUGCUGAUGAGAAUGCUAGGUUGAAUACAUUGCUUGAAACAGGGAUGUUCAAAAGCCUCAAAGGGCAUCAGACACUAUGUGAUGUCCUCAAAAGGCAGAUCCUGAACCGAAACCCUAGGAAAGAGGGUGUUAGGUUCGAAAGGAAAAUGAAUGCUGAUGGCUCUUACUGGAAACCUGAGCAGUACCCCGAAACCACAUGGGUUGCUGCAAAGGGACCGUCAGUGGAUCCAUCCACCCUAUCUGGCUUCACUUGUGCUAAUCCCAUUGUUAUUGAUGAAUCCUUUGAUGCAAACUAUAAACUGUUUAAGAAUUAGAAGGGUGAAGUGUUUGCCAUGUAUAUUGGUACUAACUGCAGGAAUGGACCGCCUAUGAAGAAGGUCUGGGUGCCGAAAAGGUGUUUGGAGAAUCUUCCUGUGAAUGUCGUCAUGACAUCGCAAGUGAAGAAGACAAACCCCAGACCACAGGCUUCAUACGGUCCAAAGGCUUCAUAUAGACAGAGGACUCACCUGAGUUGCACUAAUGCAAAUGUUUUGCAGGGAAGCCAUACUCAGGCGUAUGAAUAUGAGCGCGUUUCAUCAAACCGCCAUGUUCAUAAGACCAAGAACUAUUCUGCUUAUUCUUAUGAGUACUAUUGUCCACCUGCAAGAUUUUUUGCUAGGGCUCCAAAGCCAAAGUUCUCAGAUGCUGCACUUAGACUCAUUGCUUAAAAGCCACCCUUGAAGAUGUGGGUGGCUAAGAAAGCUUAACUCUCUUUUGCAGGGAAAGGUCUCCAGCCGAAAACCAAAAAUCGUCUGAAGCUAUUGCUAGGGACCUUAAACAUCUUGUAGGGCGCAAGAUCAAAUGCCCAAAUGGUCUUAUUAUGUAUUUUGUUCCUGAGUCGCUUGCUACUUGCCCUAUCAGUCCUAACCUCGAUCUAAGCUUUCAUAAUCCACUUGCUCGUCAAAUGUUUUUGCUUCACAACUCUCUUCGUGAAGCCUAUCCCCCUAACUGCACUAUAGGGUACGACACCAGCUGCUUCAGAAUGGAUUAUUAAUAGUGGGUGUACUAAUCACAUGACUGGCAAGCGAAGCCUUCUUAUGGACUCAACCUUACGUCCCUCUGACAAAAGUCACAUCACAUUUGCUGACACUGGUAAAAGUAAGGUGUUGGGUCUAGGUAGAGUUGCAAUCUCAAAGGAUCAACACAUGGAUAAAGUCAUGCUUGUUGAAUCCCUUGGUUUCAACUUAAUGUCUGUCUCAAUGCUUUGCGAUUUAAACAUGAUUGUGAUGUUUGGAAAAUAUCGUUGCCUUGUUCUAAUGGAAUCUGACAAGUCUCUAGUGUUUGAAGGGUAUCGGAAAGAUGAUUUGUACGUUGUAGAUUUCUCAGCAGGACCACAACUUGCCGUAUGUCUUCUAGCAAAAGCUUUAGAAUGCUGGCUCUGGCAUCGGAGGCUAGGACAUGCUGGCAUGAGGAACUUGCACACUCUUGCAAGAAAGAAGCAUGUCAUAGGCAUCGAGGGCGUCAAGUUCAAGAAGGAUCACUUAUGCGGUGCCUGUGAAGUAGGAAAGAUGACGAGGGCCAAGCAUCCCUCAAAGACAAUCAUGACAACAACUCAACCCUUCAAACUACUCCACAUGGACCUUUUCGGUCCCACUCAUUACUCAACUCUCACUACUACUGCUUGUCUCUAUGGCUUUGUCAUUGUUGUUGAUUAUUCAAGAUAUACUUGGGUGCAUAUAAUCCUCUACAAGACUGAAGUGCAAGAUGUCUUCAGACGCUUCGCCAAUCGAGCCAUGAACAACUAUGGCAUCAAGAUAAAACACAUCAGAAGUGACAAUGGCACUGAAUUCAAGAACACUGGGCUAGAUACAUAUCUUGAUACUUUGGGCAUCACACAUGAAUUCUCAGCUCCUUACACGCCACAGCAGAAUGGCGUCGUCGAACGCAAGAACAGAACACUUAUUGAGAUGGCUCGGACGAUGCUUGAUGAAUACAAGACUCCAAGAAAAUUCUGGCCUGAAGCCAUUGAUACUGCAUGCCAUAUCAUCAACCGUGUUUAUCUUCACAAGCUUCUGAACAAGACAUCCUAUGAGCUCCUUACUGGCAAGAAGCCAAAUGUCAGUUACUUCAGAGUAUUUGGUGCCAGGUGCUGGAUCAAGGAUCCACAUCACACUUCAAAAUCUGCACCAAAAGCACAUGAAGGUUUUAUGCUUGGAUAUGGAAAGGAUUCACACUCCUACAGAGUCUUCAACCUCUUUCACUAUAAAGUGGUUGAAACUGUGGAUGUGCGGUUCGAUGAGACUAACGGCUCGCAAAGAGAGCACCUGCCAAAUGUGCUAGAUGAAGUUCCAUCCAGUGAAUCAAUCAAACUUAUGGGAACUGGAGAAAUCAUACCAUCUGAAGCUUAGCCUGAAGAGGAACUUAUCAUCUCCGCACCUGAUCAACCUGAAGACAAUGCUCAGCCUGAAGACAAUCCUUCUAACAAUGACAAUGAUCAACAAGAGAAAAAUCUUCGUCCUGUACAUCCUCGUGUUGCAAAUGAAGUACAGAUUGAGAGAAUAAUUGAUAGCAUCAAUGCACCAGGUCCACUCACUCGUUCAAGGGCAACACAGCUAGCUAAUUUCUGUGGGCACUUCGCAUUCGUAUCAAUAUCUGAACCCAAGAAAGUUGAUGAAGCCUUCAUGGAGCCUGAAUGGAUUCAAGCUAUGCAAGAAGAGCUUCAGCAAUUUGAGCUGAAUAAUGUAUGGGAACUGGUUAAGCAUCCUGAUCCUCACAAGCAAAAUAUAAUAGGCACCAAAUGGAUAUAUCGCAACAAGCAAGAUGAGCAUGGUCAAGUUGUCAAAAACAAAGCUCGUCUCGUUGCUCAAGGAUACACUCAAGUUGAAGGGAUUGACUUCGAUGAAACAUUUGCUCCUGUGGCUAGACUUGAAGCCAUAUGCAUACUACUGGCCUAUGCAAAUCAUCAUAACAUUCUUCUGCAUCAAAUGGAUGUGAAGAGUGCUUUUCUCAAUGGCAAGAUUGACGAAGAAGUGUAUGUUGCACAACCGCCUGUCUUUGAAGAUCCAAAACAUCCUGAUAUGGUGUACAAGCUCAACAAGGCACUGUAUGGCCUCAAACAAGCCCCUAGGGCUUGGUAUGACACACUCAAAGACUUCCUGAAGAGCAAAGGCUUCAAACCUGGUUCCCUCGACCCCACUCUCUUCAUGAAGACAUAUGAUGGUGAACUGUUUGUGUGCCAAAUAUAUGUGGAUGACAUUAUCUUCGGCUGCACCAAUCAGAAAUACACUGAUGAGUUUGGAUAUAUGAUGCAAGAGCAAUAUCAGAUGUCCAUGAUGGGAGAGCUUAAGUUCUUCCUUGGUCUUCAAAUAUGUCAGCAACGCAACAACAUCUUUAUAUCUCAAGAGAAAUACCUCAAAGAUUGCCUGAAGAAAUUUGGAAUGCAAGAUUGCAAAGGCUACACGAUGCCAAUGCCAGCCAAACAUCAUCUGGGCCCCGACGACAAUGGUAAAGAGUUCGAUCAAAAGGUAUAUCGCUCCAUGAUUGGUUCCUUGCUUUAUUUAUAUGCAUCUAGGCCAGAUAUCAUGCUUAGUGUUUGCAUGUGUUCCCGGUUCCAAGCGGCGCCAAAGGAAUCGCAUCACUUAGCUGUGAAGCAAAUUCUCAGAUAUUUGGCUCACACCCCAACACUAGGAUUAUGAUAUCCAAAGGGCUCUGAGUUUGAUCUAGUUGGAUUCUCGGAUGCUGAUUAUGCUGGUGACAAGGUGGAUCGCAAGUCUACAUUAGGCACAUGUCAUUUUCUGGGACGAUCACUUGUAUGUUGGUCUUCAAAGAAGCAGAACUGUGUAUCUCUCUCCACUGCUGAAUCUGAAUACAUUGCUGCUGGAUCUUGCUGCGCUCAGCUUCUAUGGAUGAAGCAAACACUCAAAGACUAUGGCAUUCACCUGAAGCAAGUGCCACUCUACUGCGACAACGAAAGCGUCAUCAAGAUUGCCAACAACCCAGUUCAGCACUCGAAGACAAAGCACAUUGAAAUUUGUCAUCACUUUCUCAGAGAUCAUGUUGUGAGGGAAGAUAUUGAUAUCAUACACGUCAACACUAAAUAGCAAUUGACAGAUAUCUUCACCAAGCCCUUGGAUGAGAAGAGGUUUUGCAAGUUACGGUGUGAGCUAAAUAUCUUGGAAUCCUCAAAUGUCCUGUGAUCAGGCACACACCCUAACACUUAUGCAUGUUGAUGACUUAGAUGUGCAACACACGAAGUAAAGUAUAUCUUCAAUAAAUGAAGACUUACAUUUUGAGUGUGAAUACAUUAACGUGGAAUUUGACUUCGGAGCGCCACGAUAAUUGUGUGUCGUGUCUGGGUCUAAUACUUCCUAUACGGUGGGUAACACCACCACCAAAUUCUUCUGUUGAAGUGUUUUACCCAUGGCGUUACAUUUGCUAUGUCUUCACAUUUGGUUUGUCUUCAUUUUCAACUUGUCUUAAUGAUUAUCUUCACUAUGUUGAUAUGAUUGUCUUCUGGUAUAUACUGAUUUGGUUUGGUUUUUGUCCUCUACAGCAUUCACUUAUAGCUAUGGCUUCUUCAUGAAUCUUUUGAACUAAGUGAAUGUGAUCGAACCCUAACCCCUCUAUGCUUCUUUCCUAAGUCUAUCUAUCCAAAUCAUACGCAUUCUAUUGACACUGUUAAAUGUCUUCUCUGCAUCCAUGUCAGCAGAAGACACAGAGACAAACAUUAAUCCGUUUUCAAUGAUAAAUCCUUUCACCUGAAACCCGGAGAAGUGGGAACGACCACCCGACAAUCCAGGCGUGCGUGGGAUCGUGGAACAACCUCCGAUGGGUUGCAUGAUAGCCACGUGUCCUUCAGAUGUGAAUCGCCAGGGGCACUUGUGUAAUAACUCUGUGCCGUCCCUAUCCCUAUAAAUACACGCCUCACCACAGUCAUUGUCCCUUCUUCCACUCCCGCACAAACCCUAGCGCCACCGCUAGCCCUCGACGACGCUGAUGACAAAGCGCUUAGCUACCACGACCUCACCGACACCGUCUUCAUGCCGGCCGCGGACAUCGUCUUCUCCGCCGUCGCCGUAGGUGUCCUCCGUCGCCAAGUUAGGGCAUGGAUGAUCGAACUGCUCGGCCUCCUCUCCCACUCCGUCUAGCAGUUCUUCGUGUGGUAAAUAAAACUUCCUUUUUACGGCCCCUUUGAUCCUAUAGAUUCAUCACUUUCUACCACAAGAAGUUUCUAUUCACACAAGUUGGAUCUAUUUCAUACUGCAUCUCAUAAUAUGCCUAGUAUGUUCACUUAUGCUUCACCAAGAAGUUAGAUUCCUCACUUGUACUUAUUCGUGGAUUCGUACAAAUCUGGAACCAACUCUCUAUCUAUGAGUGAAUGUCUUCGCACUAUGAGGUCAAUGUCUUCUAAACUGAUUUAUCUUCAAAAUCUUCUGAGAAUGCGUAUGACCUCUUCCCCUUCCCUCGCACCUUAAUGCUGUCACAGGUACAUGUCCGUGGGAGAAUCCCUUGGUUCUCAUAGUCUGCAUUCAUUUGCAGAAUUCUUACAGCAUCACAUUAACUCUCCCGAAGCCAGUUCCUGUUUGACCAGAAAGCGGAAGCCUUUGAAGCCUUUAAACGUGUUGAAGCCCUUCAGUUUAAGCUUCAUGGCACCAGAGAAACCUACAAGAAAGGGCGGCAGACAGCGCCGUGGGGGUACAUCAACGGACCCGCCCGAAGAUCUUUAUGAACUGUACAAAACUGACCCCAAGAAAGCUAUGGUCAGCGCAAGACAUGAAUCCAAUGGAUUCGAAGAUACUGGGCAGAGCAAUGGUUCAAGUACAGGUUUGUGACCCAGGAAUAUGCUGAGAAGAAUGCCAUCAAGCGACCGUGGGGAGACAUCCUAUACAAAAAUCUUCAACCCAAGUCCAGAGCUGAAGCCAUUGAACAAGGCUUAUAUCCUUGCAUGGUCCAUGGACCGCAGCCUGCGGAUGCAGACCCAUCUUCAUUACUGUGGUGCCGCGAUGAUAAUAUGUUCAAGCGCAACCUUCAGUUUGCCAGGAACUCGGCCAAAGAGAACAAGAAGUCACGAGGCUUAGACUUCAAUCCAGGCCCCUUUGCUCCUCGUGCUGAUGACACAUGCGAAGCUGAACCCAAUCUUGUUGGGCCCUUCUAAAACCUGGAAGGUCUCAUCACUGAUAUCAUGGUUCAAGGGACAGCCGUGGAUGAGCCUGCAGACGACGCUGAAUCUGAUGAAGCGCCUGCACCGCCGAAGCCAAAGAAACUGAAGAAGCCUAAAGCUUCAAAGCCUGCUCCUGCACCAAAGGUCUUACAGGUGAAGCCUCUGGCCACUGCACCUCCUGAACACAGUGUGCAGUCUGAAGAUUUGUCACACAUCUCCAAGCCCUCGAGAGUGAAGAUGCCCUUGCAACCCACCAGCCAAUAACUGACUGCUGCUCCUAUUCUGUGCAAUGACGCCAUUGAUCUGUCCAGCGAUGAAGAUCUUGCAGAUGACGCUCUUGAGCAAGUGAUUAAGAGCAAAGAAGAAGCAGAAAUCUUCAAUGAUUUGCCUCUCUUUGACGUGGCAAUCCUCCACAACUUCAUUGAUGAGUGGUUUGAAACCCCCAAUCUCAGCUUUGAUGAUUUGCAACUUCCAAUUGGCCUCAGUGUCGCUUUCACUGGCGCCAUUGCUUCUGAGCUAGCUCUAGCUCAGCGCAUCGUUGAACUGAAGCAAAAGGUCGACUAUGAGAAAGCUCAGUUCAAGAAGCACAUGGCAAAGCUCAGCGUGCAAGAUGUGAAAAACUUCAAGAUUAUGCUGCACGAGCUCAAGGAAGCCUUUCUCAAGAAACAUGAAGAAGCUAAAGGGUCUCGUGAGCGCAUGAAGAUUCUGGCUGACAAGUGCGUGCAAGCCUACAAUGAAGCUGAGAAGCGCAAGGCUCUUGGGUGUCCUGGCAUCGACCCUAGAAUGGCGGCGAAGCCGAAGAAGAAGAAGCCAGCUGUGGCCGAACCCGAAGCAACAAGGCAGGAAGUACAUCCCAUUGUCUUCCCUGCCAAUAUGACAGGCUCGAAGCCUAAGGUCCCCACAGUGGCUUCAGAACUAAAGAAGACAAGGGCUGCCGAGGCUGAAGCCAGAAAGAGGAAAAAUCCUGAAGCUUCUGAUGCCGAUCCCUCCAAGAAGAAGCGCAAAACCAAGAAAGAUCGGGCUGCUCCCACAGAGCCCCUUGUUGUCGAGCCCAUCUCGGUUGCUCGUCCUGCCUCUUCGCAUCAAGAACGAAGGAUGAUAGUUCAUGAGCCUGCUUCCACAGAGGCUCCUGAAGCUGAAGACAUCCCAACAGUUGACCCCACCGCUGCCGAAGACAUUGGUCACCAUGACAAUUUUGAAGAUGAUGAAGUCCUUCCUCAAAUCGAGCACCAAUUGGUAUCAUCGCCUGUGCUCACGCACAACAAACUCAUCAGCAUUGGUUGUCCUCUGAUGCCAACUGCUCAGGAUGCAUCGUGGGCUGAUCACCCACAGAGACAAGACACUCCAAGCUCUCCCCAACCGCAAGCUACCCCACAAGUGCAAGAUGAUGAUGACUUUGAGGCCCCGCACGCUCCAUCUCCACAAGCAUCGCCCGCAUUACGCAGGCUUCGCAAAGGACCCAGGCCCCAAGUCACUCCCACAAUGCACGUGUCUGAAUCCGAAGCCAAAAUGGCUGAAGAUGUUCCGGCUGCAUCAGCCGAUGAAGAAGAAGAUGAAGAAGAAGCCUCAAGAGUUACUAGAGUUGCUACACCCCCGUCUCACCAAGAUGUUGUUCUCAAGGAGAACGUGACCGACCCUCCGGCUUCUCAAGUGGAGGUUCACAACCCUGAGGCGGCCACCAACAUCACUGCUGACGCCAAUGGCGUUGUCAUGGUUGAAGCCAAUACGGCGCCAGAAGCCAAUGAGGCACCAGAAGUCAAUGCUGCAGCACCUGAGGUCCAAGCACCUGAAGCACAUGUGGCCCCUGAAGCCCAUGAAGACAAUGCCAAUGCCCCUGUUCCCCCUCCAAGACCUCACACAAUGGAGCUGUCAUUUGAUCAUGGUCAGCUGGUUAUGGUUCGAUGGCCCAUUCUGACUCCUCCACGUGCUGUUGGUCCACAAUUUGAGUACCACGUCGAGCACAGGCCUCAAGUUCAAAAGCCCAAGCCAAGACUUCCACGAUUCCCAGGCACUGCCACUUCACCUGGGGUCUUCAAUGCAAAUGGCUUCGUGGCACAUAAUACCUUCUUCAACAGCUCCAAGAACCCCUAUACAAGACCGCACAUUUUCUCAGAUCGGUUCUGGAGCUAUCAGCAGCGCAGCUACUAUUCCUGUGUCCUAUACAAUCAAGGGCGCAUAUUUCCACAUAUGCGCCUCGACUCUGAAGCUAUAGCUGGUUUGCCCUGCCUCGAAGAAGCAUUGGACUGUUUCAGGGACGCUGGUCUGUUGCAGUUCGUCACUGACAAGGAGCACUGGAACGAAGAAUUGCUGCUUCAAUUCUAUGCCACUGUUCAUAUUCGAGGCUACAACAGGGAUCCAAAGACUUGGGUCCUUGAGUGGAUGACAGGCAAUGUCCAUCAUGAAGCUAAAGCUCUUGAUAUCAUUGAGCUCACAGGCCUGCCCACUCCUGGUGAAUACUAUGAACCAUGUUGUCAACAACAUCAAAAUGCCUUGGAAAGCAUCUUUCAGAAGCCAGAACCCAACAUGAGUCAAAUGCUAAGCAUGAUGAAGCCUCUGCCUCAUGACGCUGAAUACCCAUCUGAGUUCUUUGUUGAAGACCUAGAGUACCUGCCUCGCACCAUUUACCACAUCAUCAGGAAGACUCUAUGGCCCGUCAAAGGACACUCAUCUGCAGUGAAGCUUGAAGGAGCAAUGAAGACUUUGGUUUUCUAUAUCUUCAAUGGCAUCAGCUUCAAUGCUCAAGACUUCUUCAUCAGGCAGUUGGCUGCGUCUGGCUCUAACAUCUUUGGGUUGAAAUUCUAUGCUCCAUGGGUCAUGCGUUUGAUAAAGCGUCACUCAGCUUUCAACUAUCAGCCGUCUGCGCGCAAUCAUCUUAUAUUCUUGCCCAAGGUUGAUCUAUCAGUUGAAGCCAUUUACCCAGAGCCUGCUAAGGAUCCCAUUUAUCUUCACAAUGCUGAUCACCAAAGCUUCACCCAGCCCAUUGAAGGGAUUCCAGCAGUUUCUCGUGUUUAUCCCCUUGCUGGAAACACACGUGUCCCUCGUGCUCAAACUGACGUCACUGGUAGCACCAUUGCGCAAAGGCCUCAAAGACGAUCUCGUGUCCUCAAUGACCGAGAGCUUCUCGUUGCGCUGCAUCAGAAACAUGACAAACAUCACGACUGGCUUAAGCGCCAGAUGCAAAGCCUCUUGGUGGAUGUCAACCGCAUUCUCAAUCUUGCCACCAAGAAUGCCUUUGUCACUCAUGAAACCUGUCAGAGGUCGUGGAAGAGUUUGACCCUACUUAGUGCUGAAGCUAAUCUACGAGCGCAUUAACUGGAUAGGAGUGUUUCAAUCGUGGCAAGAAUCAUGAUGAUCACAAUGUGCUAAGAAUCGGAUUGGAGAAUAGCACAAAGAUCGAGUCCAUACCCUAGUUCGGCGGAGACUCACUACGGCAACAACGGCGGGGUAGAAUUCCUUUGACGACGAUGGAGACCAGCGACUGGAGGCGGCUGGCGGCGAGGAGACGAUCUGGAGACCAAGUUGGCAGAGCAGGCUAUCGCGCGGGCGAAGGGGUUCGGAGAAAUUUCCAAAUUUUUGCCCGUGACUAUAUAUAGCCUGACCCUGUCGGUGUGACCGAGUGGAUCAGCUCGGUGGCACCGAGAUGCAAAACUGUAUACAGUUGUUGCAACUCGGUGUGAUCGAAAGGUUCAAAUCGGUUGCACCGAGAUCGAAAACCUAGAUCAACUUAAUGAUCUCGGUAGGACCGAAAGUGGGGUAUCGGUCAGACCGAGAAUCAUAAAGAGGUUUUGGAAGUUUAAGUCUAUGACGAAUCGGGGACUCCGAGCGCUCCUCACACAGAGUGGUUCGAAUCUGACUUGAUCAAAUUUUGUGAUGUAGCAUGAAUAGAGUUUGAGACGAGAAAAGCAUAGAUAGCUAGAGGAGGUUCUUAGGCAUUCUUGUCCAUCCACUUGGCAAAAGGAAAUAAAACCGAACAAUCAAAACAACAAGUGGAUGUCCU